UCUAACGGCUUUGGACAAGCACUUGCCCAACCAUCAAACCCAAUGCAAACUUUCCAAUUGCAAUGGGUUGGAAAGUUAUCUAAGCUAGAGAAGUUGAGCUGGGGCCUUUCAAAUUUUCCCAUUUCGUCAAUAGAGUUGGGUUGCCUACCUCGACUUAGAGAACUCACUUUAUCUAGUAUGGACAAUUUUGACUCGAUAGUUGUUGGACCGCAAUUUUUCAACUUGAAAAAUUUGUCCAUAUUGUGUCUUCAUAGCUCUCCACUGAGGGAAAUUCAACUAGAUGGGCUUGAGCUAUUGAGAAAUUUAGGUGUGAGAGAAUGCGAGUUUCUCGAGCGACUGUCAGUAAUUUCAUCAAGCCUGAGGAAGCUCUAUAAUAUGGAAGUUUUAGAUUGCCCAAAGCUACUUGAAAUUCAAUUUCCCAGUACAAUGGAAUCAUUAGAGGAACUUCGAGUUGGCUACUGCGAUUCCCUGGGAGGGUUGCAUGGUUUAUCAAACUCGAAGAAGCUGAAGGGUUUGCGGAUCUACCAAUGCAAUGGGCUACGGGUUGUUGAGGGCCUUGAGGAACUGGAGCUUUUGGGAUUUUUGUAUCUUUCCAGGUGUGGAUCGUUGGAGAGGUUGACCGAUGUAUCCGACUCAAAAAUACCAAAUGAAUGCAGGAUAGAAGUAUGGGGUUGCAUGAAACUAAGUAGUUAUGAGGGUACUUACCGGGGUUACAAAGAGAUGAUUCUUGUCAUGAUGAGAACGACAUUCAACGAGGUGCACCUUCCUCAUACCCUUCACUUAUUUUUCAAAUUUUCAUUUUUCAGAAAUGCAUGAAGUAGGCAUCACAUUUCCUCAUUUUCGCUUGUUCCGUUUCCUUCCUUGUCUCUCUGUCCAUCUUUCUCUUGCAUGUAUUAAUUCAUACUUCUUUAUAUAAAUCUAUGAUUAUUGUUAGGUCCACUAUUAGUGUAAAAGAAACAUUCAUUAUUUUACCGUCUGGAGUUAGUUUUGUAAUUGAAUUUUUCCAUGUGUCAUUUAUCCAAUGGUGAGUGUGUCGAUUGUUUCUUACACGAGCAGUGUGCUUAAUAAAGAUCCUUUACAUAACUGAACAAUGAUCAUAUUAAUAUUUCGCCAAGCAAAGAUAAAAAUCACACUUCUUUACACUUUUCCUUUAGAAUUUAGAAUGAACAAAUAAAUAUAUAGAAACAAAUGUACGAUUUAUGUAUUAUGAAAGAUUUGAAGUGGUACUUAUUGGGUGAGUCAUGAGAAAAGGAAAAAUAGUGGAAAAAGAUAUACCAGAAACAGAGCUUAUAUGCGAUACCCACUGGUCAACAAUGUUCUACUUAUCGAGCUAUGCAUAACAAACUGUAACUGUGUGGUUUGGCAUUCACCUUAGAAAGGCAAGCAUGCGAAAUGGUACAACACUAUCAUUUGUCAAAAUUUUAAAUAUUGCUUGAUAUUGAUAUUUUUUCUUUUCUAAGUUAAACAGAAAAAUUCGUGAAAAUAAGGGAGAUGCCUGUACAAAACAUAUAGUUUAUGAUAUCACGUACGUCUUUAUCUACUCAAAUGGCAGAACGUAUGUGUUUUUUUUUUUUUACUGGUAGCUAAAUCUAAUCAGAGUGAACUAUGAAGUAGAUAAUAAAUUGUUGGUGGAAUAUGUACAUAGUUAAUAAAUAUAUAAUCAUUAUACUGCUAAAUCGUUGGAUAGUUAUGUUGAGUUCAUCGAGUCCUUUAAUAUGGAUAUUUGCUGGAGAUCAUUAAUAAAGCUAUGGAUUAUGAUAGAUCUGCUAGCACUCGUUUGCGUAAUUAGUUUCCAACGUGACGUGUAAACCAAGGUGUACAAUGUACUUAUAUAUGUGGAAAAUGAUGCAAGUUACAUUAUAAAGAUCUUUGUAUCAAGAAGGUUAAGUUAGAUUAAAAAUAUUUAGCAAUUGUUCAGAUAAAGGGAAUCGACAGUUAAAAAACAUGUAUAUUUAAAACCCAUAUUGACAAGUGUCCUAUUAGUCUAUGAUAAUGAAACGAAUGGCCAUUUGACUAGUAUAUUAUCACAAAAUCGUAUUCUAGUACUUAGUGCCCCCAUUUCUACUAUACAUCAACCAGUUAAUUAUGAGCAAUUCAUUGAAUUUCCUACAUAUUCCAUAAAUAAAAUAAAACAUUCAGUGUACCUCAACUAUGAUAAAAAUCAUUGGAAUGUUCGGACUUCAAAGCAGAUGGAUUGGAUGAAAUUUAAAUUUUCUUAUGCUACAAUAUCAGGAGAAGAGAAGACUGAUUCAUUUUUUCUUGUACUAGGAAGAUGCAAGGGAAACAGAUGCAGAAGGAUCAAUGAUGGAGACCGAAAUCUACUAUCCUCAGAACUCGCCAUUGACUGUAGGGCCUCCAGAACCUGGCGCUGAGCUCGACUCUAGAAGUAAGUUGCUGCUGUUAGAAUGAAUAUACUAUUAAUCCUGUCACACAAAGUAACAUCUGUUAGCUUACGCUACCAACAUACAAGAGCUGAUAGGAAUCGAACUAAUCUUUGGAUGUUUUGCUGCUAUUAGUUUGGAUGCAACGUCAUUUAUUAGCUUACCUUGAUAGUACAAACUAUUCUCGCAGGUUUGAAUGACUUUCAGUCUCCUCCACGAACCUCAUCUGCAGAUGUUUCCAAGUGUUCGUGCUCAAUUCUAUGAACAAAAUGUGACUGAUUCAAGCAACGGACAGAUGAAUGAAUUCACAAUGUAAUUGAGUUUGGGAAUCUUGGGAAAUUGCGAGGAGUAAUGGAGUUUGCUCUAAGGACAUGUCCCCCCUCUUCCAGGUCCAUCAGAAGAGAAACUUAUUAUCGAUUUGUCCAAGGUAAGUAUUCUGUUUUGUGAAAGCCCAUUUGUUUGCCACGUCGAUUUUCGAUGCAUGUGAUACUUUUCUCAAAUGCGCGCAAUAAGAAAAUACUCGGACCGGGGCAAGCUCUAGGUAUCAGUAUGUUCUACUAAUAGGUCACCCUUUUUUUCUGUGCCGUGAGAAGUCAUUUUUAAGCAGUUAAAGAAGAAGACGAUCUAAUUCUCCAGAUAAUCCAGUAUUUCAGAGUCUGUUGCGGUAAUUGUUAUCCAAUUUUUCGGUCAUAUACAGCAAGGCUCUGUUUCUUUUUCCAUUUUGGUAGAUUGAUGGUUCUACCAAAGUUGCUCAAAUAACUAAAGAGUGCCAAAAUGCCCACCAAAAAAAAAAAAAAAUGAAAGAAAAAAUGAAGCUGGAAAUAGACGGUAUCCAGGGCUGUUGAUCGUUAAUCUAAACUAGCUCGCAGUACACAUGAACUUGAAAAUAAAAAGGAAACUGGAAUAAGGAAAGUGGAGACAACAUGCCUCUUGACAAAACUCUCCUCUCUUCCCAGAUGUGGAGGAGAGCUCUAUUGCUAUGUACCACCGAUCGAGUUCCCGCGAAUUGGAUUUUUGGACUUCACUGGAUACAGCAGGCCGCCAAGGGACUAGUUUCGGGUUGAUUACACUGAAGCUACUGUGGAAUGGUUUCCUUAUGCAAUGUAUGGAGAGCUAGGAAUGACUUGCUGCAUAAUCAAGUUGCUCCUGUUGAUGUUGGGAUGAAUCCCCUCGUGUUUGCAGCAAGAUAUAAUAUCGAAGGGUGCAAAAGCUGCUGCAGACAAAAGUUAUUCGGAUUUGGCAUUUACCUGAAGUGUAUUGGUAUGCCUAGCCUUUAAUAACUAGUCUUGUAACAGUUUUGGAUAUUUGGGCAGUUAGUGUUCACGUUCUAGUUGGAGCUAAGAUUGUUGCUUGAGUAGCGUGCUAACGAUAUUGUUAGGUUUGGAUAAAUUAUAGAGUGGACAAUUUGAUGGAGAUCUUUGAUGAAUCAACUUUGAGGAUGGUAGGUCUCAAGGGUUCUUUAUCUUUAUUUAUUUAUUUAUUUUUGGGUAGGUCUUGAGUUUGAAAAGCUGGAAUUUGAUGUAUUUAGGUUUCAUUGAUUCACUAAACAAUGAUUAUCACCACAAAAAUGAUUCUGGUCACCUAUUAAUUAUCACCACAAAAAUGAAAUAUCUUGAUUAACUAAACGAUAAUUCAAGUGGUCUGGAAGAGUUCUGCUGAUGAUUGUAGGGAGAUCGGACCAUUUGAGAAAAGCAAGGGUUGGGAUCAAUUCGUUGAAUUUUGCCGAAACGGACUAGGUAGGAUGGGCAGCAGGAAGGGCAACAUCGUGAGCAUCGAUUAGUGUCGUGAUCAAACGGUCCCAGAUUGAAACAGUUUGAUCCAAAGGUGGGGAACAACGACUGGCUUAACUUCCUUGGCAAGUUUUGCAUGCUAAGAAUGUGAUCAACGCAUUUCCAAAAGUUUAGUUACCCUUCAGACCAUCUAGAUCAUAAGUGAUGAAACUUGAGAUUAGCGGAGGCAAGUGAUCGACUCCAUGCUAUAUCUUGCAUUAGAUCGUUAUCUCGCAACUUCUUCUGUCAUUUAUUAGAGAAAUGCCUAUGUAACAAUGAAUCGGUACAAUGACCUUAUGACUCUCAUAGAAAAGUCAACAAUAUCAUGCCCUAAUUUUUAUCAACUAGGAUGUCACCUACAUUCUUUAAAUCUAUCAGGAGCUUGUUAAACUCAUCUGAGCGGUCUCUGGUGGAGGAGCUUGUUAAACUCAUCUGAGUGGUCUCUGGUGGAAGUAAGUUUAGCAUGUUGAAACCGAAACAUCAUCUUCAACAUAUAUGAUAAUUAUUUAAACCAUUUUUCAUGUAAUGAGCCCAAAAUUUUUCUCAUAACGCCGCGGCACGUCUGUUCUCAACCACUUCUAUUAAAACCUCAUCCAAUGGUAUUAAUAUGAUUUUACUAUUUGCCCUCUCCAUUAACUCAUCUUUAUUGGCAUCUUUUAUCAUUUUCGGCAACUUAGCUUUGCCGUCUAAUGUCUCAUCUCGCUUCACUGACUGAUUUGUUUCUUCCAUUAAACUUCUGAAUUUCUAUUUAUGCUCUAGACAUAGUUGCAACAACAAAAUUUCCAAACAAUGAUUAUACAGGCAAAAACCCUAAAUCAAAUCUAGAAAGAUCCUACACUUAGCUCUAAUACCAAUUAUUGUAAAAUUAAUGCGGAAGCUAAUUGGACCUUGUUAUUAAAUCAAUGCGCGAGCACGAAAUAACCAGAUAAAUCAACACGGAACAAUAAGAAACGCAUGAAGUCCCAAUGUGGUAUCCACUUUAUAGGGAAAUUAGUUGCAACUAAUCAAUCGAAGGAUUAUAAAGUACAAUAGCUCACAUAUUCAAGCGCUUCUCAACCUUAGAUUCCACCUAAAGCACGGUGUUUAGCCUUAUGGAGAAUAACGGUUUAAAACACCUGCAUCUCCGGAAAGAGAACAAGGAUGUAAACUCUUCGCACAGAAAACGAUCACCGUGUGUUCCUCUUCCUGUCCGCGUGGCUAGAAGGGCAACUCCACCUUUUUACUGUUCUUUUUGCGCGGCUGAAGGGGAUGAAAAAAUUAGAACCCACGCCUUCUCAUUUUUCUUCCUCUGACAAAUCUACUGACCCCACAAGUAUAUAUUGAAUAUGAGAGCCCCUUCUUCUUCUUUUGUACGGCCAAAAGAAGUCUCUCCUCCAUCUCCGAUAUAAACAAAGAGCCCAAGAAGUCGAACCUCUCAAACAUAAAUACUCUUCAUCGAACAGAAACAAAAUCAAAUUUUCCAAAGCCCAAAAAGUCCAAAUUUGAUUUGCAUUAAAGCGAACACCGAAUUUGAACAAAUCAAAAUCCUUCGAGGUUUCAUGCAGAUUUCAAAACUCGACAUAACUUAACAACAAAGCUGGUCACUAAGGUACUAAUAAAGGUCUAGCAUCAAAGGGCCCAAGUUGCUGCAGCAGAAAGUUGUUCCCCAGCUUAGUUUGAUGAAGACAUGAAUUUAACUUACCCGUUAGAACAACUCAUCUUUUCCUGUUCUAGGAUGAUGAGAUGGAGAAAAAUCUGGAAGAUAAAAAAUUGAAAAAGACAGCAUUGAUUGUUCCGUAGUCAUAUUACCAUGUAUCUGCAAGCCCUUGGGGCUUUUCCAAGUGAGAAUUCUUCGCAGGCAGACAGGAAAAGUACAUGUCUUGCAGGACAAUGCAGACGUGGUGUCAGGAAAAACUGAAUGGAUCUCUAUGCAUUAUGGUUAAGGGAAUAAAAGCUAAAUCGUGGCUCCAAGGGAAUACUUGCACUCUUCUUGAUAAACUGAUGUGCAUUGUGGUCAAGGGACAAGUUUCCUGGAAACAGGAAUGCAAUUUGCAUAUGCAAUCUACUCUGCUUUGAGGAUUUACUAACUGUCUAUUCGUUGAGAGGUAAGUCACUCCCUUUGUAAAUAUCAGAUUGCUCGCCACAUGCAAGCAUCAUCAAGAUUUUCGACAACUUAGAUAAUAGUUUCCAAUGCAUAUGAUACUUUUAUCUAGGUAAAUGAAUGAAUCUACCAAAAUUUCUCAAAUAACUUACAAGUGCAAAAAACCAAAAAGAGAAAUGAAGAGAAAACGAGCUGAAGUAGGCAACUUUGGGAUAUCCCAAAUGGUGAUCAUUAAAUCAAUAUUGCAUGAACACCUCCAAAAUUUGUCAAGAUUACUAACACGCGCAAUCCUUGACCCAAGCAUUAUGCUGUCACAGAUGACUAGAUCUAAUAGGAGAAAAUAAUAGUCUUUCUUGUGCCAAUAUCUGUGAAGUGGGCAAAACUGAUGGUAGAAGAGAGUAAUUAGUUGAUCAUCUGCAAGCCAUUCUAAUUUCUUCUAAGAUGAGGUUGUAGCAGCAGAAGCAAGGGCAGACACUACUGACUACAUCUUCUCAAUUCUCAAGAGUCCGACAUCGAGCAUUCACUUGAGUUUAUGCAACAACAAUUCUAAUUUCUUUUUGUUUGGUUGACAUCCAAUCGAAUCUUCAAAUCUCAUUUGGCUCUCAUUUCAUUGUUUAUUUUCAACUCUUUUACAGCUCUUGUUUCUCCUCAAAUUGCACAUACGUGGAGCUCACAUGCUUCAGACACAAACUCUUUUGAUAUUUGCAACUAGCCCGGACUACUCAUGCAUACAAUCAUAAGUAGCCUCAUGUCGAAAUAGAAAAUAGUACUCCCAGCAUUCUCCUUUUUCCUUCAGCACUUCACCAUCUCAAAGUAACAUGCAGGAGCACCAUUUGACAUGCACAAUCACAUAUGAACAGGAUUUGAUCCACACAAAUACUUAUGAACAGCAUUCGAUAUCCAUCACCUAUAUAUCUAAGUAGUUCACAUUUCAAUAAACUAUAUACAGGAAAUCCAGCAAAGACACAACCAACGCAACUUCAAUUGGACAUCAAGACGUUGGUAAACAGAAUGCGAUAGGAACUAUGGGCAAUGGAGUCAGGCAUUCUGUCGAAAAGGUUGUGAGCAUGUGGUGUAAACUGUGGAGUACUAUUAACAACAGAAUGGCAUAAGUAAUACAGAACAGAUACACAGAGUGGAAUAUCCAUGCCUACAGCAAUUCUUACCACUUUAAUUGGAAAAGAAACAACCUGGCGGUGAUGAGAUGAUGACACGCACGGCAAUCAUGAGGCGGCCGUUGCUAUGGUUCACGUUCCAAUGCCCCGACUUCAUCUCCACGGAACGCCCCNNNNNNNNNNNNNNNNNNNNNNNNNNNNNNNNNNNNNNNNNNNNNNNNNNNNNNNNNNNNNNNNNNNNNNNNNNNNNNNNNNNNNNNNNNNNNNNNNNNNGAUGGAUUUCGUCAUCGCCGAGCCGUCGUGGAGCAGGAUAUACGGCGGCGGAGCUGAAGACGCAGCGAGGAUCGGGGAUAAAGCCGCCGGAGUCAUCGCUUCCCCAGUGGAAUCGCAAUCGAAGGAGAGAAUAGAGUCGCGGGCGAUUAAGGAGAGCAGCGACGACGACGACGACGAUGGAAGGUGCGUAGCGACCAUGGAACCGCGAGCCAACAUCAAACCGCCGGAGAAACUGGUGCAUGGAGACGUCAGGACACUUGAAUCGGCGGCGACGAUUCCCCUCCGGCGAACCUCGAAACGAAGGAAAAUGGAGCUUCCGGCGAGAGCCCCGACGAAGGAUUUGAGAGUUCUCCAUCUCAGAGCAAGGAUCUACAUUCUCGGUCGCUAUGGAGCGCGGGUUCUUAAUAAAAUAUAUUUUAGCGGGAUUUCUUGGUACAUAAUAGCAUUUCUAUUCUAAAAUGUAAAAAAUGGAUGCGUGUCCUUGAUCUUCUAGUCCAACUUCCCCGAUUCCCACUAUUUCUCGAAUUUCUGCGCAAGUUAGUUAUUAUUUCGAAUCUAAUAGUGAACAUGGAAAAUAUUAAGGGGAAGCAACAACUUAUGAAUUGUAGAUAUGUAUUCAAUCCAUUAUGUAGUCCAUGAUGAAGCACCGUAACAAUAUUUAAGAAAUGCGAUAGUUUAUGAGUGGAAGUUCAUAUUCAAGAUAACUGGCCUACAAUUCAACUAAAUCUUGACAUCUUUUAUACAAGCUAAAUGCAACUAUGUCAAAGGAACAAAGUUCACUUCAUCUUAAUAAGAGUUGGACGUAACAGUGGAUUGAGAUUCUCGACCAUUAGCAAUCUAGUCAUGUUAGUGGAUACAAGCAUCUUUGAUAGUGAUUUACUUUUGUUAGGGGAUGAAAGCCACAUUUCCUAAUGGUUAUGGUGGAAUAAAGUAUAAUCAAGAUUUAAAGCUUUUUGAAUGGUUUGAUAAAAUCCUAAAAUUUGUCCAAAGAGCGCAAUCGGAUACUUCUAGUAGCACCCUUAGUUUGGAGCGACAAAAAAGUUCCAAAGCAACUUUAUGCAAUAUUUAGGGAGGGGUGGGAGAAGGGGGUGGCGCCGCCGCACCUCUAUGGACAGCAACGGCGACCAACCCUCUUGCGGCCACUCACACGAGUACCAUAGGCGUUUCCAUGAGGGCAAUCACCUUAGCAAAAUGGCACUCAAUGAGGCACACCUUUGAUACCACAUCAUCGCCUCACCAAAGGUUCUACUCAAAUAUUAAGUCUUUACACGUUAACGUAUGGGCAAGAAGCUGUUAUUCUUUUGGAGAUAAAUGCCCAAUCCCUGAGAGUCAGGUUAUGGAGUGACAUGUUAAUGAAAGACUGCGAAUAGUCGAUGUAUAUGAAUUUAGACGAGUUGGAUGAAAUUAGAUCAUCAGACACUUGAGCAUAGUACCGGCAUAAGAUCCACUGGUGUACUUAGAAGGAAUUAUUCUGUCUUGGUCGAUAAAUGGAAAGCACCUAAAAAAGUUUCAUCCAACAAUGUGGGAAAUGCAAGACAAGCAGGAAAAUAAAACACAAACCGGCGAGUAAUGAUCAAAAGAAAAUCUUCAUUGAUGUUCUAUUACUUUAGGUCAAAAUCAUUCCUCUACAGUAGUUAUAAAUUUGGAAGGCAUUCCUCCAUUUUUCUUUAGGUUUCUAUAUAUUGGUGCCUGAUGGAUGAAUGGUUCUUGAUCUCUGGAUGUCGCUCAUCACAAUCCUGCAUAAGCACGUCGACUUUCCUCUGCUUUUCCUUCAUAAGCUUCCCUUCGCGAUGAAUGACGGCCUCAUUUGCUUCAAUUUGAUGCUGAAUGUCAGCAAGAAAUGUUUCGAGCCUCUCUUUUCCCUUUGCAAGCUAAGCCGUCUUAUCGAUGGCAUUAUAUGAGAAGUGCGCCGUUCUUUUAAAAGAUCUCUCCCUCAUAACAAAGUUGAACUUGUAGCCCUCCAUAGCUUUCUUCGAUGGCUUUUGACGCUUUCAUUUGCUUUUGCUUGCAGUUGUACCUAAAAGCUUCAAUACCAUCCUCAAAGAGAGUAUGAAAUUCUUCGCACUUGUGCCGAUAUUCAGAAAGAUUACGUCUGUCUUCAUUCUGGAUCAGUUAGACCAGCAGAACUUCAUAUUCUUUUUAUUUCGAGCUCUGAGUCAGAGGCACUGGUGGGGAANNNNNNNNNNNNNNNNNNNNNNNNNNNNNNNNNNNNNNNNNNNNNNNNNNNNNNNNNNNNNNNNNNNNNNNNNNNNNNNNNNNNNNNNNNNNNNNNNNNNUGAGUUCUGUUUUUCUUGGCCAAGGUAGUAUCUCUUCUACUUCUUCUCCAACAAUGACCGUUGACGACUUUCGUCUGCAGGUUUCAACUGCAAUCGAGAGAAAGAUGUUAGAUGGUUAUUAAAGGACGAAAGGGAAGGAAGGAAAUGAUAAACAAAUUUUUACCGAGUCCUGUCCUCUAAUUACUCUUGAGUAUUGACAAUGAUGGGCUCGAUGGGGAUGCAUUAGAAGUUUGAGACACUCCAAACAGAUCAUCCUUCUUUCGCCUUCUCUGAAAAUGAAUCGCCGCCUUUGACAAACAUCCAAUUGGAACAGGAAUUCCACCACCCAUAAAAAAAAUCGUUAUAUGUGGGUUCUUGAGGAAUGGAAUAUGCAUGUACCGAUUAAAUUCAUUGAGGCAGAUGUCGACGUAGUGCAAUGUCGCCUCUAUGCUCAGUCUGUGGAGAGAGGAAAUUUCGUUUGAUAUAUAGUUGGCCUAGGAAUUCCCUGAGCCAACCCAAACUGUUGAGCACAAUAUUUAGGAUGAUAAACCUAGAAACCGGGGAAGAAUAUGUCUCUGUUUGACAAAUUUAAGAGGAUGAUCAACAGCAACCAAGAUGGUCCUCCAGAAUCUUACAAUUAUGGCCGAGCCGUUAUAAGCGUAAAUACUUGGAUUGGGGCAAGCUCUAGGUAUCACUAUAAUAAUUUUCAUGCUUUAGGUCGCGCUCUUUUUUAAGUUGUAGGAAGUCAGUUUUAAACGGUUAAAGAAAAAGAUGACCUAAUUCUUUACAUAAUUCAGUAAUUCAGAGUCAGUUCCUGUAAUUGUUAUCAAUUUUUUGGUCAUAUACCGCAAACCGCUGUUUCUCUUUCCUUUUUUGGUAGAUUGAUUGUUCUCCAAAGUUGCUCGAUAACUAAAGAACUCAAAUAAUAAAGUAAGGUAAAAUGAAGAAACAAUCAAGCUGGAAAUAGACAGUUUUUGGGACUGUUGAUCGUCAAAAUCAACUUAGUAAAAGCUCCUUGAAAAUCUGUCAAAAGAUUGAUGGCCCUGCAUUUCUCAGCCAUAGAUGACAAGACCUAAAAAAAAAUCUGUCUUUACUGUGCCAAUGUUUGCGAAUUAGACAAAGCUAAUGGUCAAACAAAAAUGGUUUGAUGAUAUGGGCAUUUGCACAUUCCAUAAUGCUAGCCAAAGAGCAUUCGUAAUGACUAUUAUUAGAACCUUUGUUCAAGUAAUUCACUGGUAAUGGCAGAAGAGACUAAUUAGAUGAUAUCUGCAUUUUUGCAUCCUACAAUGCUAGUCAAAGAGCCAUUCGAAUUUUCUUCUAGUAGGUGGCAGUGGAAGAGGCCAUUGAAGGAUUGAUGGCAGAUACUCAAGCAAUUUACUGCUAUUAAUUUUCUGUUCUGCUAUCAUAUAGCGCAAUGUACAUCAGCAUGUUUUCCAUUUACUGCUAUCAUUUUGCAGGUGCACCUGCCUGGCACAUCUUUGGAUGUUUGACAAAUGGUACUACAACUUUUUAUCCAGUGCUGAUAUCAUCUGUAGGCCGGUGUGUUGUCAAGCAUCGAUGGCGUUGAACUCCAAUUGAAAUAUGUUCUCCAGCUCCUCUCUGGUCUGAUAUUUCAUUUCAAGUUCUUCUUCAUGAGAUGCCGCCUCCCUUGGCUGUUGUGUGAUUUGGUAUAUGACUAGGAUUCUUCAAAGUAAUUGUAAUGUCACUACCUAAAUUAUGAAGAAAGCUGGCACAGAGUUAAUAGAGAAAUGCCAAAAGCAAGUUAAUCACGGCAUAACAAUGAGAAAUUUACGAAGAUAUCCCCUCCCUAAGGCAUGAGGCAAGAUAUUUGGAGUUCAAUUGUAUUGGAUGCAACAUUUGCGGUUCCUUGAUUUAUGGACUUCAGCCCAGUGGGGUCCUUGAUGUCAGGGAACUAUAUUGAUUGAGUGAUAUAAUCUGAUUACGAACUAGACCUUAAGCUUGGGCCUUAGGCUGAUGAGGGUGUAAAAGCGAAUCCUGCUUGAUUUGUCGAAGCUCAUAGUACAAAUGAACUUGAAAGAAAAAAGAAAGCGGAAUAACAAAAGUGGAAACUGUGAAGAUGAUGCAUUCAUACAGAAGAUUCAACAAUGCCGAAGCUUCUGUUACAGAAGAAUUGAAGAACAGAAAUAGGAAAGUAUAGAUGUAUGAAUCGAGAUUGAUCAAUGAAAAUCUCUGUAUAUACUCUUCUGUAUUUGAUCUCAAUGUACUUCAAGAUCUUUACAUCAAUUGAAAGAAAAGCUCUAUACUCUCAUCACUCUUUCUCUCUAGCUUUCUGCAGUAACCAGAAGAAUGAAUAUCUCAAGAAUGAUUACUAUUUUCCUUACCCCUCUCUUUCUCAUUACGAAGCUAUAUAAGGAAGGUGAAGACUUAACAGAACCAACUAACUUCUGUUUUUACUUUAUAACUAACCAACGACUUUAUGUAUCUUCAUAGAGGUAAUCCGAAUCCGAAUCCGCAAUCCUUGUUUAUCCUCUUUGACUGCUUUUCCAUCGUUGAUCAUCAACUUCAUUACUCUUUAUCUUAGCCAUUCAUUUCUACUGAUUUUCUUCUUGCUUUAUCAGACUUCGCAGCAUCCUCUGUUCUAAUAUCAGCAACAGUUUCAGCAGCACCAUCUGCUAUACCAGCACCAUCUGCUAUACCAGCACCAUCUGCUCUCUGGUGAUAUAUGUUCUUAACAUUCCCCCUCAAAUUGGGAGUAGAUGGAAAACCAAGUCCCAAUUUGGUGCGGAGUUGGCGAUGUGUAAAGUGUGAGAGAGAUUUGGUGAAAAUGUCAGCAAUUUGGGAAUUGCUUGGGACAUACCGAACUGUGAGUGAUCCUGAAGAGACUUUUUCUCUAACAAAGUGAAAGUCAAUUUCAAUAUGCUUUGUUCGAGCAUGUAAUAUAGGAUUAGCAGUGAGAGCUAUAGCUGAUUUAUUGUCACAAAAGAGAUGUGUAGGAGAGUGGAGAGUACAGCCUAUGUCUCGUAAGACAAAGCUGAUCCAAGUGAGUUCUGCAGAAGUGGAAGCAAGUGCACGGUACUCAGCUUCUGUAGAGGAUCUGCUGACUGUGGAUUGCUUCUUGGCUCCCUAAGAGAUAAGAUUGGAACCAAUGUAAGUACAAAAUCCUGUAGUUGACCUUCGUGUUUCUGUACACCCUGCCCAAUCUGCAUAUGAAAAACCAUAUAGAUGCGAAGAACUCUGUGAGUGAAUGAAUAAACCAAGAUUAAUGGUGCCUUUGAUGUAUCUGAGUACCCUUUUAAGUCGAGCAAGAUCUGCCACAGUUGAUGUCUGUAAUUUCUGACACAAUAGGUUGGUAGCAUAGGCUAUGUCAGGUCGCGUUAAAGUUAGAUAUUGAAGAGCACCUACCAAGCUACGAUAUUCAGUAGGAUUGGUCAGAGCAACAGAGUCUUGUUGCAUAAUGAUCUGCUUCAAGGACAGAGGAGUAGUAAUUGGUUUACUUUCAGACAUGUAUGCUCGAGUGAGAAGAUCACUGGCAUAUUUUGUUUGACAUAGAAACAAAUGAUCCGAAUUUUGUUUGACUUCGAUGCCAAGGAAAUAAUGCAGAGGACCAAGAUCUUUCAUGUGAAAUUUGAGGCUAAGAGACUGAAUAAGAACAUAAAGUAUUUGGAAAGAACUGCCAGUUAAAACAAUGUCAUCGACAUAUAAAAGCAGAAGAAUAAUAUGCUGUUGUUGAUGAUAUAUGAAUAGAGAUAGAUCUGUCGAACUGCAAAAGAAUCCAUAUUCAAGUAGAAAGUCACUGAAUUUAUCAAACCAUGCUCGAGGAGCUUGUCGAAGACCAUAGAGUGAUUUCUUGAGUGAACACACAUGAUAAGGUUUCUAUGAAUCUUGAAAUCCAGGAGGUUGUUCCAUGUAAACUGUUUCAUUAAGAGUGCCAUGUAAAAAUGCGUUUUUAACAUCAAGUUGAUGUAUAGGCCACUGUCUCAUUUUUGCUAUAGACAGAACAAUUUUGAUUGUGGCAUGCUUGAUUACUGGACUAAAAGUCUCGGUGAAAUCUAUACCUUCUUCUUGAUGGAAUCCCUUAGCAACUAGGCGAGCUUUCAAUCUAUCAAGACUACCAUCAGAUGCAAGUUUUGUUUUGAAGACCCACUUGCAGCCAAUUAUAUUCAUAUGAUCAGCUCGAGGAACUAAAUCCCAAGUUUUGUUUUGAUAUAAUGCAUUAUGAUCUUCUGUCANNNNNNNNNNNNNNNNNNNNNNNNNNNNNNNNNNNNNNNNNNNNNNNNNNNNNNNNNNNNNNNNNNNNNNNNNNNNNNNNNNNNNNNNNNNNNNNNNNNNCAGAUUUAAUUGUCUUUGGUUCAGAAGGGACCUUAUAUACAGCAAGACAUGCAUACCUGGGAUUCGGUUUGACAAUUCCAGACUUUGAUCGUGUCUGUAUUGAAUGAUCAGAGGUAAUCCCUUGAGUUGCAUGAGAGGUGACUUGCUCAGAUCCACUGGUCGUAUUAUUGGAUUGUGCUGAAUUAGCACCAUCUGUGUCUUGGUUCUGUACUGGUGAAGUUUCUGCACCAUGUGUAUCCAUUGUGGAAAUGUCCUGUCUUGAUUGAUCAGUAUAAGGAAUAAAGUUCUGUUGAGGGCUUUGAGAGUUGAUGACACUAUUGUUCUUAUCGAGUUGCAGAUAAGCUGUAUAUGUAUGAGAAUCAUUAUAGAGUAUAUUAGAGAUUGUUUCUCUAUUUGCUGAUUUUGUUAACUGAACUUCUUCUGCCCACGUCUGAUAUAAUGUUGUAAGAGGUGCAUACUUUGUCAAGCACAACUUAGUGAAAGGGAAAAACUUCUCAUCAAACUUUACAUUUCUACUGAUAUAUAUUCGACCUGUUGAAGGCACAAGACAUCUGUAGCCUUUAUGAUGAUCACUAUAACCAAUGAAUACACAGGUGAGGGAUCUUGGAUCAAACUUAUGCUGAGCAUAGGGUCGUAAACAUGGAUAACAAGCACAACCAAAUACUCUGAGGUGAUCAUAGGUUGGCUCUUGGUGAUAUAGUUUCCUAUGUGGUGAUUGCAUGUCCAAUCUCGGUGUUGGAAGAAGAUUGAUGACAUAGUUAGCUGUAAUAAACGCAUCAACCCAAUACUUCAGUGGAAUUCUGCCAUGAUAUAACAUGACAAGACCUAAUUCAACAAUAUGCCGAUGUUUCCUCUCAGAUAUCCCGUUCUGUGCUGGUGUAUAAGGACAAGAGAGAUUUUGUUUUAUACCACAGUUUUGCAAAUGAGCUUUAAACCUGUGGCUAAUAAAUUCUCCUCCUCCAUCACACUGAAAGACCUUGAUCUUUGAUUCAAAUUGGUUUUCUACUUGCUUUUGAAACAUAACAAAGAUCUUAUAGAAGUCUGACUUCAACUUUAAUGGAUAUAUCCAGCUGUAUCGAGAGAAAUUAUCCACAAACAGAACAUAGUAUUUGAAACUUUGAAAUGAAGUCACAGGUGAUGGCCCCCAUAUAUCACAGUGGAUUUUCUGUAGGGGCAUGGUUGUUACAAAUUCAGAGGAUGGAAAUGGUAAAGCUGCAUUCUUAGCAAUUUGACAGCUACUACAAACACUCAACAUCUUAUUGCUACAUUGAAUGAGUUUUUGAUUCUGCAAAUACUUCAAGAUAUUCAGAUUGGUGUGUGCUAGUCUUUGAUGCCAUGUAUCUUCUUCUACUGCUCUGUGUUUCUGAGCUAGAAGGGCUUGUGUUGUUUGUAAAUUCACUUGAUAUAGUCCUUUAGUUUUCCUUCCGAGCAGCAAGGUUGUGUUGGUCCAAUUGUCCUUUACAUAUACACCAAAUUUGUCAAAGACAAAUGAGCAUGGGUAAUCGUUUGUUAAUUUGGAUACUGAUAACAGAUUUUUCUUUAUAUCAGGGACAAUUAGAACAUCAUUCAGAGGCAAUAAACUUUCUUUAGUAUGCAACAAUGUGUUACCAGUAUGUGUAAUCGACAAAUGUGAUCCAUCACCAAUCAUGACAGUGUCAAGUCCAGUGUAUUCAGAGGAGUUUUGAAGCAUACCAGGAUUGGCUGUAAUGUGUGCAGUUGCACUGGUAUCUGGAUACCACUCGCUGCCUUUGGCAUCCUCAAGAUGUAUAGCUGCUAAAGCUAUUGGUAUCUCCUCAGCUUGCUACGAAUUAUCAAAUCUGUACCAGCAGUGCAAAGCAUCAUGGCCUGGUUUCUUGCAGAUUUGACAUUCUAAUUUUAUGUUGUUAACUGGUUUCUCAUCUUGCACAUUCUUGGAAAAAGUUAGAUUUGAAGGAUAAGAUUUUAUUUCUUGGUAUCUCUGUGAUGGACCAGCAUAGGGACGAAAUCCAGAAGUGAAACCAGAUUCAGAAGAACUGUAAUAAGGUUUGGUUCUCUGAUUCUCUUGCAUAUAGCUGACAUUGCUAAACCUGUAACCUGAGUUGUCUCCAGGGUAUCUGAAUCCACGGCCUCUGUUAUUAAGAGAACGUCCUCUUCCAUAAUUGUGGCCUCCUCUGUAAUUACCUCGUUGAGCAGCAAAGCUUAAAUUUUGAGGAAUAUAUCCUCUAUCAAUAGUUUCUUUGAACUGAGCUUGAGGAUAUCUUUGCCCAAAGUAAGCCAUAUUGGGGUUAAAUUGUGUUCUAGAGUAGUUCUGCAAUCUUGACUCGAACCUUUCUAAUUGUGCAAUUACCUCAUCAUACUCCGGUUGAGGUUUUAGAUAGUAUAUUGUUGUUCGAAAAUUUUCAUACUCAGCUCCUAAUCCUUCCGGUACACCAAAUAGCUUGGUUAUAUCAUCUACCGGUUUCCCAAUAGCAUUUAACUGAUCACAUAUUCCCUUGUAUUCUCGAAGAUAGACUAGAAGAUCUCGAUCAUGUUUUUGACAGCCUUGGAGUUUCCCCCUCAAUUCAAACUCUCUUGCUGCUGAUUUUUGUGUGAAUCGAUUCAAGAGUGUCUGCCACACUUCAUAAGAUGUUUCUAAGCCAAUUAUUAAGCCUAGUAUAUUCUCAGUUACAGCUCCACUUAUCCAUGAGGAUACUAGCUGAUCUAUUUUUAUCCAGUCAGUAUAUUCUGGAUUUACAACCUCAACUUCAACACUUCCAACUACAUUCUGCAGCAUUCGAGUAGGUGGUGUAACAUCACCAUUAACAAAGCCAAAGAGUUCUUGGCUUUUUAGAAACCUACGGAUUUGAGCUUGCCAUAAAAGAAAAUUGUCUUCGGCAAGUUUUAUGGUGACAAAGUUAGAAAUAUUCACAUGUAUAGGGAAAGGCUACUUCGAUGCUCUUAUUGCCAUUGCUAUACUCUUUCAAUUAUGGACGAAUCAAGAUAGCAAUUUUGUUUAUGAAAAGCUAACUGAGUUACCGUGAUACAGUUAUCUGUAUAGCUUCAGAUCCUUCUUCCUUGAUCAAACAAGUAGCUACUGAGUGAAUCCUCUUUGACUGAGAUGAUCGUCUCGCUUUGAUACCAUGUGAAGAUGAUGCAUUCAUAUAGAAGAUUCAACAAUGCCGAAGCUUCUGUUACAGAAGAAUUGAAGAACAGAAAUAGGAAAGUAUAGAUGUAUGAAUCGAGAUUGAUCAAUGAAAAUCUCUGUAUAUACUCUUCUGUAUUUGAUCUCAAUGUACUUCAAGAUCUUUACAUCAAUUGAAAGAAAAGCUCUCUAUACUCUCAUCACUCUUUCUCUCUAGCUUUCUGCAGUAACCAGAAGAAUGAAUAUCUCAAGAAUGAUUACUAUUUUCCUUACCCCUCUCUUUCUCAUUACGAAGCUAUAUAAGGAAGGUGAAGACUUAACAGAACCAACUAACUUCUGUUUUUACUUUAUAACUAACCAACGACUUUAUGUAUCUUCAUAGAGGUAAUCCAAAUCCGAAUCCGCAAUCCUUGUUUAUCCUCUUUGACUGCUUUUCCAUCGUUGAUCAUCAACUUCAUUACUCUUUAUCUUAGCCAUUCAUUUCUACUGAUUUUCUUCUUGCUUUAUCAGCCUUCGCAGCAUCCUCUGUUCUAAUAUCAGCAACAGUUUCAGCAGCACCAUCUGCUGUACCAGCACCAUCUGCUCUCUGGUGAUAUAUGUUCUUAACAGAAACAACGUGCCUCUUGACAACUUUCUUCUCUCUUCACAGAUACAGAGGAGAGCUCUAUUGCCAUGUGCUAUUGUUCGAGUUCCUGGGAGUUGGACUUUUGGAAUUCACUAUAUAAAGCAGCCAGUAAGGGACUAGUUUCAGGUUGAUUAUGCCAAAGCUAGUGCAGAAAGGUUCCAUAUACAAUCUGCGGAGAGCUAGGAGUGACUUGCUGCAUAAUCAAGUUACUUUGAAUGUUGAUGUUGUGAUGAAGUCUCUUAUGUUUGCAGUAAGUCUAGGCAUCGAAGGGCUCAAGCUGCUGCAACAAAAAGUUAAUUCUAAUUUGGCAUUGGCCUUGAGUUUGUAACUGGCACAUUCAAUGUAACGGAACAUAAAUUGGUAUGCUCAAUCUUUAGCAACUAGUCCUGUAACCGUUUUGGAUAUUUGGGCAGUUAUUAUUCAUGUUCUGGUUGGAGCUGAUGUUGUUGCUUGAGUAUUUUCCUAGUUGUCUGUCGUACUCAGCCGCCAGCAAUGGUUUGCUGAACGCGAUCACCUCUUUGUGACUUGUACUGGAUUUGGCUUCCCAGCAUGGUUUGAUGAAUAAAUGAAUUUAAUUUGCCCAUAAAAAGACAUGUAUUUAAUAAUAUUUUCGAGCUUGAUAGGGACAUACAUCCUUGUUUGAAUAGAGACAUUGCGAAAGUCGUCCUUUUGAAAAAGUCCUUAAAUCCACUAUUUAUCAUGGUGGCAGGAGUCCCUCCUUUAAUCUAAAUACGAAAAUGAAACGUGGAUAUAGGGAGCGUGGGCACAGUAAGAGAAAAAUGGACACCAACAAUUUUGGAAAUAUUGUUGGUUUUGGAUAAACAAUAUUGAGUAGAUAAUUUUGGAAAAAAUUCAUCUAUAUGAUGAAGAUCUUUAAUUAAUCAACUUUCAAGAUGGUAGGUUGUCAUUUGAAAAACUGGAAUUUGACAUAAGGAGGUUUCAUUGUAGGAUAAUACUUUUUGUUCAUACCAUCAUUGGGCCAUCCACUAGCGUUGAUGUAUGGAAAUAUCACGAUGUAUACCAUUUAUACAGUAUAUAUAUCCUCAUCUCACAUAAUCAUGAAUUUUAUAUAAAUGAGAUUCAUACAAUAUGACAUAUAUAACAUGCUCACUAAGUAAUUUCUUCUCGGAGAGGAGUUAUAGACUAUGUAGGAUGGCUCUUUUGUAUAUGCACCAAAGCCUGAGAUCAACCCUCAAUACUUCUUUGACCACUUAAAUAUAGUUGCUUAAUUCAUGUAAAAUCCUUCCCUGGAAGCAGCUUGACUGUUUAUGUAACUGUACAAACCGUGCCAACCUCCUUUUUCACUUUUGCAAAAAGAAGAUAUGAUCACGUAAAAUGGUCGAUCAAAGGAAAAAUUAUCCUAUGUACUUAAUAUAUGCACUAAAGUAAAUCCAGAUUGCCAAAUUUGGUGGACCACCGGUGAUUUCAAUGGUCCAUAUUCAGUUUGAUAUAUAUACUGCGCUCAUGUAAUAUAAUUUCUGCAAUCAGAGAGCCAAUGAUAAAAGGAGAGUUAUCUGUGUUGGUUUCAGUAUUGCAAGGAAAUUUUCCUCUUUGUCCAUGUCCGGAGUAUAAUUUGUUAUGAGAUUUCAUACCACAUUAAUUUAUUUGUUAGUUAUCAAGAAAAUUGUCCAAAAAGUUAUAAAUCUAUUAUACGACAUUCACGUCAAUGAUUUUCAGCACUAUGAUUUUCUGGUUUCUUGUCUUUUUUUAUUUUUUUGAUGAGGUGGAUUUGUGAGGGAAAAAUGAAUGUUUGUUUCCGUCCCUUUCUUUUUAACUAAAACCAUGAAACGAAUUGUGAUUAGGACAGGAGGGCAUUUUUGUUAGGCAUUAAAUAAAAGUAAAAUUCUUCUUCAUAUUUUUCGUCAAAAUUUAUAUCAUUAUGGGUAAUUGUUUAGAAAAAUAUUUCUUCUUUUAUUAGUAUUAGGUAAUUGUUUAUGAUCUUGUACAACCCAAUGCAAGUGCAAUUUGUAUAAUCUAAAUUUUGACAAGAUUUGAAAGUUACUCCCUUUUCCAAGUUCCAAUUUAGUUCGAACUACGCAGGCAUCAUUUUUAUAAAGGGUCAUGCUUUUCCCGCUUCUCAUUUGACUUGUACCAAUCAUUCCGCUGUGUUCUAACCAUAUUAACCCUUGCUUUUUCAAAUGUCAGCAUGCUCAAACGUGGUGCCCAUUGGUGUUUCUCUUUUUUAUUUGUUUGGUCUUCGUCUUCAACUUUCUCCUCCUCCUUAGUCCGCCCAAGCACAGUCCAUUUGAGUUCUUUGUAUUGUUCUACGUUCUCUUUUUUUUCCCGUCUCUUUAGAAAUCUGGCAAUUCUUGUGCGCCCCGAGCUUGGAUGAGAAAAAUCAUACCGAAAGUCCAUUCCAUUAUCAACAUGACUUGAAGCAUCACUACGCCAAUCUUGCACAUCAUUAGCCGUCGGAGCCACCGAACAUUGAGUUUGCUUAUCAAUGCUGAAGCCGGAAAAGUUGCUUGAGUAAUCAUCGAUAUUGACGGAGUGCCGAGGAUCCAGCCAAUCAGCGAACUUGGAGCAUCCUGGUANNNNNNNNNNNNNNNNNNNNNNNNNNNNNNNNNNNNNNNNNNNNNNNNNNNNNNNNNNNNNNNNNNNNNNNNNNNNNNNNNNNNNNNNNNNNNNNNNNNNNNNNNNNNNNNNNNNNNNNNNNNNNNNNNNNNNNNNNNNNNNNNNNNNNNNNNNNNNNNNNNNNNNNNNNNNNNNNNNNNNNNNNNNNNNNNNNNNNNNNNNNNNNNNNNNNNNNNNNNNNNNNNNNNNNNNNNNNNNNNNNNNNNNNNNNNNNNNNNNNNNNNAGGGAUGAACUUGCAUCAAAAUUGAUGUACUCACGCAUGUGAAGGCUGAUGUCAUAUUCAUAAGGAUGAUGUCACCCAUGUCCAGCAGUAUAAAUAUAAUUAUUAUGUAAUCUUAAGAUUACGUAUAAUUGAAUAACUAUACUGAUGUAAUCUAAAUCUGUAUGUGGAUGUGAAAUGAAACUUUUAGGACAAGAUUGUUUUUACCAAUCAAACUCUUAGUGAAUGUUCGAAGUUGGCCAUCGAAUUUCUACUUAUAUUCAAAUUGAUCCUAGUACAAUGUUUUCUUUUAGGGGGUCUCUGACUCUCCAUGGUCAAGCAAUUUUAAUUGGUUUUCCCAAAGAGAGCUUACAUGGCAGCAAUUUUUUUUCCCUGAUGGAGAAUGCAAGAAAACCUUUCUUUGCAGUUAGAAGGCAACUUUUUGAGCUAUUUAGAGGUCUACAAGUACAUGUCAUCUUCAAAGACAAUACUUACGAGUGUUGAUGUACGCUAUUUAGUAAUCCAUGAUGCAAUGGAUUCAGAACCUUUAGAAGAAAGAAUGUUACUUAAAAAAAUAAAUAAGCUGGGCAGAACUUAAACUUAUUUAUAUUUUCUAUUGUGUAUAGAUGUUUUCAAUUUAACUUAAUUUACAUGUGAAAGAAAAAAGGAAAUUUGCUCUAGAAUCCAAUUUUAUGCAUUUAUUAUACCACUAAUUUCCUUACAACAUAUCUUUAGGUUAAUAUAAUCCAAGACAAAGACAUAUUUACGAUUUUGCUUUUGCAAUAUUUCCCGGGAUCACAAGCAUAAUAUUAUGACACAUUUUCUUCCUCUUAUCAAUAUUUUGACUCUUAAAUUAUUGUAUUAAUCUAAGAAGUUACAAAUAUUAUUAUUCAAAUGAUCUUCGACUCUUCCUUUGAAUCACAUUUCCAUUAUUGUAGAUUACUCAUGAUUGUAAACUUGUAAAUAAAUACAUGUUCAAGUGAAGUCUGCAUCAAGUAACUAACAAACAGACCAAAAAAAACCAAAAAGAGAGCUAGUGUGGUUGCUUGAGCAGUUUACUAAUCAAGUUACUAAUCUGCUAAUAAUGGUUUGCUGAAUGGGGUCACUCGCUAUGGGUUUGGCUAUCCAGCUUAGUCUGAUGAUGAACUGAAUUUAACCGGCCCGUCCAAAAAACAAGAAAAAAAAUUGAAUUUCGGAAUAUUUUUCGAGCUUGACCAGGUCAAACGUCCUUCUCCGUUUACUUUAAGCGUCGCAUGCCGAACCAGGCCAGCUCCGAGCAGGCAAAAACCAGAGCGAGACACAGAGAACUUUUGCGAGAGAAGCCCCCCAAAAAACAUGGCAGCAACCGUUGGUUCCAGCGCGUCGGUGACCCAGUACGACGUGUUCCUGAGUUUCAGAGGCCCCGACACUCGCGACACCUUCACCGACUACCUCUACCGGACCAUGAUCGGCCCGGGGAUCGCCACCUACAGAGACGGCGAACCGCUCUUCUCGAGUGGCAAUGCUUCGAGCGCUCGGUGCCUCCGCGAGCUCGCUCGAGUGACGGAGCUCGACGAAGCGUAAGUAAAUGCUUAUUAAUGGACCUUUUUUCAAGCGUCAGCCGAAAUGCUAUUCUCUUAAAGUUCUUGUAAAUGGCAGUGAAAACUAGCUGGAGUGGUUCAAAAAUUCGACAGGAAAUAUAUUGGUCGAUGCGUCAUAUGCAAACCGGAUUUUGAUAUCUGAGCAGUAAAUUUCAUUUCUNNNNNNNNNNNNNNNNNNNNNNNNNNNNNNNNNNNNNNNNNNNNNNNNNNNNNNNNNNNNNNNNNNNNNNNNNNNNNNNNNNNNNNNNNNNNNNNNNNNNUAUAAUAAAACAAAAAUAAAACAGAGACAAUUCACCAAUUCUCAUACAUAAGCAGUGCCAUUAUGGCUACUGAUAGUUACAGGAGUGAAUUGGAUCUUGUUCUAGAAUGAUGUCUGUAAUCUGGACGGCAAAGAAGCUUCUUCUUUCUCAGUAAUAGGGGGAAAUUGCCGGUUUAUCUGGGACUUGAAAUAGUGAUCCAAGUCAAAUGCUAUCUGCUAGGAAGUAGUAGUGAGAUUGUUAUUUGUUUUCUUUUACUAAAAGUGUUUGGUUUGCAGCAGAAACGGUGAAGCCAUUGAGCACGAUUUGAAACAGGUUGUGCUUAAGCUGAGUGGAAACAAAAGACCUCUUGGCAGCACAUUUUUAAGUUGGGAAGUGGGUCAGACCUCUGGGGUAGACGAUAAGAGUGUCAGACGAAGGAUCACCUCAUGGCAAAAGGGUGAGAUGUUGGGAAGGGGGUCAUUUGGAGAUGUCUAUAAAGGCUUCAGCGAGUAAGAUUCCUUUGCUUUUCUCUUUGAUAAUCAGUAAGUUAUUCUUGCUAUAAGCAUUUUCUGGGGAAAAGUACAAUCGGACUUCUCCCAUUAUGAUGUUCACUUGCAGUUUUGUUGCAUUUCUGAGUGCUGCAUUCUGUGGUUGGAAUUAGGAUGACUUCUGUAUACUGUAGAACGCGUUAUCAUUUGGUUGACAUAAGGUGCCUUAAAUAGACAUGGCAAAUGGUUAUUCAAUUGCUUAAAGUGCUCGAUCUUCAUAUUUGGAUUGGAGUUCUAAGAUUAUUGGUAUUUUCCUUAUUGAAGACCAUUCUUGAUCAUCAAACAAAUUGAUGAAGUACAGAUCUAGUACAUUAAAUCACGUAAGUUUAGUUGUCCAUUGUUUUUCUGUACCGUUACUAGCUUGAAUAAUGAGCAAUUCUUUUGUUCUAUUUUCAAAAAAUGGAUAGCAUGAUGAAUCAGCAUGUAUUUAGAAACCAUUAUUCUAUUGUAAAUUCAAAUGUUGAAAGCUAGGGAACUAUUUUAGUUAUAUUGAUGAGAGCAUCUCUUUUUUUUUUUCUUCUUUAUAUCAUCUGGAGUGCAAGAAUUAUCUAAACUAUGUCUGAUCAAGGCAUCAUUCAUGAAAGAAUUGGCAUUUAUAUUCUGUCUUUCUCUCACGCUUCUCUGUUUCCACAGUGAAGGAUUCUUUUUUGCUGUAAAGGAGGUGUGUUUCUUAGAUCAAGGAAGCCACGGCAAGGAGAGCUUGUCGCAAGUAAAAGCUUUUUCUUUCUGUAAUUUGUCAACUGGUCGCUAGGCAUAUACAACCAUAAAUCUGUUGCGAGUUAAUAGAUUUUAUUUUGACUCUUUUUUUAGUGAUGCUCUGCUUUCUUUUCAGGAAAUUUCUAUUUUAAAUCAGCUUCAACAUGAGAACAUAGUUCAAUAUUAGGGCACUAAGGAGGUGUGUUCCUUCUUUCUAAGUUGCUUUCUGCAGUAUCUUUCACUUUGGCUUCGAUUAUGAUACCACCGGAACUGAGCAAAAUGUUUAGGUGGACAUGGCUGUGAUCGCAGCCACAAGAUAGUUGUAUUUCCAUCAUCACUGCAUGAAUAAGAUCACAGCAGUUGCGGCCUUUUAGCAGUAACGGCCUAAAUGACAGACAGACAUUUUAGGUCGUCCUCCCCCCACAAGAAAAGUUUGUGAUGAAUUGACUAUCACCCGAGAUAGUAAUUAUAUGACUAAAGAACAUACACAGAGUAGAGGUCAGUUUAUGGAGUCUCCCUCUCUCUAUGAAAGCAGUUUUUUCUCUCCCAUCUAAAGAGAGCUGUCAUGUAAUCAACCCUUUCUUUUCUAGUGGUGGAUGAUAUACAAAUUAUUUAUUUUGCAAACUGAAGAUUCAGGUCAAACUCUCAGGACUAAAAAAGAGGAAUCUGAGGCUUAGAGAAAUGGCAGCCUCGGCUAAUAAAACAUAAAGGGAAAAAGGAUAAGAAAAUGAAGUCAUUUAAUUCAUUAGAUAUCCUUUAAUUGACCAUCUGAUACUCCACAUGACUAAAAUGCCAACCUCCUUUCCCUUGUCUAUAACUGGUUGUGGCUGUAGCAACAACAAUGGAGUUCCUCCACAAGCCCAAUUUUUCCUUCAAUUCUAGUCCAGCAUCAAUUAGUUCCACUCAUUUUUAUGCAACAUCAUAGAGUUCUUUACCUCUGCAAGUAGAGAAGACGGAAAUUGGAAAUGAUCCUUGUUCAAGUGAGGGAUAUAUAUCCUUCUUAGUGGCUUUAAUGUUCAAGUACCUUCCAGUAAUUCUUUUAUAAACAUAGUUUCGCAAGAAGCAUCAGAUUCUGGGAAAGUGCCAUGUCGUAACUUCUUGUUGGACAUGAAACGUGUCAAGCAAAAUUUGGUUUGCUAGACCUACAAUCUACUACAUUUUGUGGGAAUGAGGGAUUAAUGCAACAUGACUUCUUCUGCCAGGUGCACUAUGCAACUGUUUUUGUUGGCACUGUUGCAAUUUAAAACCAUGGUGACUUGGAUAUUUGUGUUUUAUGAAGAAACCAACAAAAAGAAGAGCUUGGUCCCAUGCGUUCUUGCCUUAUUUUCCUUUUAAGUUCACAAAAUGCUUUUAAAUCUGGUGUAGAUUUUUACUAAAUUAACUCCCAUCAAAGAGAUUCUCACUAAACGCUGAUUGGUUAUUGAGAAGGUACUCUACCAAAGUGCACUUCAGGAAGCAUAACCAACCUUAGGGCCUUGUCUAGGGGACUCUUGCCUUGGUACAGUUGAUUUCUGUGGGAGUGGUGUUGAGGUGAUCCAAUGAUUAGUUAGGUGUUAUAAGAGGCCUAGACAUCCAGCUUCAUUAGGAUGAAUAAAUGGUAAACAUCACUGAUGUAGUUUAUUUCAUUUUAUUUUGCUUUUUGGUAUGGUUGUCUCUGAUGAAUCUUGUUAAGAUAUCCUAUAUCAUUAACUUAUGGGGGUUUUGAUAUAUAUCAUCAGAGACAACCCAUACCAAAAAGCAAAUAAAAUGAAAUGUUUAGACUCCUCUCACCUAAUAAUUUAAUCUUUUGCGUUCGGAAAUGGUUUCAGAGCCAUGUUCUGUCUUAAUUUAUUUCUGUGCGUGACUCCUUUUCAUCAAUUCUGUGUGCACUUCUCAGACCGGUUUUCACUUGAGAGGUCUUAAAAUAUUCAACAGUGCUUAUUUAUGUGUUUUCAAAUACAUUUCAUCUUCCACUACUUAGUAACUUAAAUUUUGGGUUGGAUAUUCUAACAUAUAUAAUUUUCUUUACUCUCUUCUAGGAUGAUAAGAAGCUUUACAUAUUCCUUGAGCUCAUGACUGAAGGUUCACUUGAAACACUUUAUCGCCAAUAUAACUUGAGUGAUCUCCAAGUCUCUGCAUACACUAAGCAGAUUCUAAAUGGUCUAAAGUAUCUUCAUGGCCAGCAUGUGGUACACAGGUAUAAGAAAGAUGCUCGACCUUGCUUUAUUAGCUUUUACUAAUUGAAAUGAUGAUUUGCACUUAUCAAUUCUGAUGGAAGGUUGAUUUUGUUAAGGAAAGAAUUCAUAACAAAACAAAGAGCACAGUGAAACUUAUAUUUUUGUUUCAUGGCUCACCCGCUUGGUGCCUUUUGAUGAUACUUAUUUUUACCUACCCAAAUAUCAUUCUGGAAAUAAGGGAGUCGUCCAAUCCUUGAACCAAUAUGUAGUGUCAUGAGAAUGAUUUUGUAGAGUAGCUUAGACAAGAUUAUCUUACUAUGUGAAUGCUUGAAGGUGGAAAUGUGAAUUUGCAAUAUUGGUAACUGUGCGGGCGAUUAUAACUGUUUGUAUAUUCUAGGCACGGCUAUGCUGAAUUCUCAUGCUUCCAGUUCCUCCAAUCUGUAGGGAUAUUAAAUGUGCUAACAUAUUGGUUGAUGCAAGAAGUUGUGUGAAACUUGCAGACUUUGGAUUGGCAAAGGUAUGUCUCAUCAGCGAAAGUGAACUCUCUCUCUCUCUCUCUCUCUCUCUCUAUCUUGGGGGGCUCGCACAUGUGCGAUCAACAAAGAUGCAUGUACAGCUACAUGCGUGUGCAGGAAUUUUCACAGGCAUUGAAGUAGUGCAGCACACAUACAAUUGGAUGAGUGCAUGACAAACACACGUAUAGACAUGCACAAAGUGACAUAUAUUGUCCUUUACUUUUCUAAAAUGACAUAUCAACUUUCUGUGUUUAUUCAUACAGGUAAUCAAAAAGAAUGAUGCUAAAUCCUCCAAAGGAAGUCUUCGUUGGAUGGCACCUGAGGUUUGCACCGUCUGCUGCCAUUUUUUUUGGCAUACUUUAAUUAGUUGUGUUGCAUGGCUUUUACUUUUCUUUCAUCCUUGUUGGUUGUGAAUGCAGGUCGUCAAUCCAAAAAACAAAAGCUAUGGAUCGGCAGCUGAUAUUUGGAGCCUAGGGUGCACUGUUUUAGAGAUGUUAACCCGCCGGUAUCCAUAUUCCCACUUAGAAGAAGUAUGUAAUUAAGAACCUUCAUUUCAUGUUUUAUAUCCUUGAGAUCUAUGUUUUGCCAGAAUUAUUAACUAGUUGCAACUUUUUUGUUAUUGCUACAUUUUAUGUGAGCUUGCUAAGUUAAGCGCAUGUUGUGACGAGUCAAUUCGGCCAGCAUUCUGAGAAAAAGAAAAUGAGCAGGAGCACUACGUAGAGAAGAGAGAGGACAGAGAAUUCAAUGAUAUUUAUCAAGAUUAUCGUAAUGUCAAAGGAUAUGCAUAGUAUUUAUGGCCAACAGUUGCUUGAAACUCUGGAGCAAAUGGUUAUGUAACAUGGUCUGAAACCUCUGUUGAAUGUCUGAAUUCUUGACUUUCUCAUUUAAAUUAUUUGGCAUNNNNNNNNNNNNNNNNNNNNNNNNNNNNNNNNNNNNNNNNNNNNNNNNNNNNNNNNNNNNNNNNNNNNNNNNNNNNNNNNNNNNNNNNNNNNNNNNNNNNGCAUAAGUUUAGAUAAUCUCAUACUGACAUCUGUAUAUAGUUCCCCACCAAUAGAUAUGGGGUAUGCAUAUAAUCCUAACAUUCAGGCUCAAAACUCUCUCCACCUUCUCCUUCAAUGUCACAUGGUACUUGAGCAGCCGAGAGAGACUGAAAUCCUAAUAUUGGCAUCGCAAUCUGUGCUCCAGAGCAGCACUCACAGUGAUUGCUUCAUCUUCCCUAGUGUGUCCUUUAAUUGUGUGGUUGUCCUCUAAUCUGUCACUUGCCACUAUCAACUUUGGUGUUUCUGCCAUUGCCCUUGAGUGUUGAUCCCUCGCUGCUCUUCUUUGGAUAAAUUGUUGACCUAAAUGGUUGUCUCCUCUGCUAGAUUUUGUCACUUUCGAUAUUAAUCGUAAAUUCUCCGUACUUGUAGUAAGGUUUCCAUCUGGGAUGGUAUUUACUGGCUCUAGCCAGCAAAUUACUUUAUGAUGUUAUCCCCUUUUUAGGCAUGACAGCAUUGAAACGCCCUUUUGAUGAUAGAAUGGCUGCUGCUGAAGUUUGGAGUGCUCUUGUCUUCCUAGUGAAUUGCGAACGUUGCACUGCUCUCAUGCUCAUUUUGGAUUUAUUUAUUAUAAUGGAGAAAAAAAAUAAUACCAUCCUACUCAAAGCCAUUGUAAAAACAUGCAACUAACACCCCUUUUCUUUUUUACUUUCUUUCUAAUUUAGGACACUAUAAAUUUUGAGCAAAAAGUAAUAUAUACUUCUGCUUUAUUGGGAGCAGUUGGAAAACAUUAAUGUUGUUGGUCCUUGUGAACUGUUUACCUGUCAUCCAUGGUCUCCCACUUAAGCAAUAACUGUGAUUCUAGAACGAUUUGGUAGAUGAUUGCCUGAAGCAUGAUGCACUUAUAUUUGUCUACAUAUCUUAUUGAUUUAUGCAGCUAUCACAUGUUAGUUCCCCCUGGAUUUAUGAUUAAUACUAGCCUCUGCCACGUUCUCUCUCUUAUUGUGGCAGGCGCCAGCAGUGUUCAAAAUUGGCCAGGGUGAACUUCCUCCACUUCCCCCUUCUUUAUCAAGAGGUGCAGAAGACUUCAUCUUAAGUUGCUUGGAAGUAAACCCGAAUAAGCGGCGUUCUGCAGCGCAGUUGCUAGACCAUACCUUUGUGAGGGAGCCACCUACUCCUGGUUGUGCCUCACCUUGUUUCAACAACAUGUUUUGCUAGGCCAUCCCUUUUGGUCCAUUGCUGAAGGUAAUUUUACACUUUCUGUUAUUUUGCUGUUGCAUCGCUAGUGAGAGUAUUCUUCUUUUGGGCUAAUGGCAAAAUAGCUUCAUUAACUUACCACAUUUCUACUGUUUACUCAAUAAAUUUAUAACUUUUACUGGUCUGCACUAAACUUUUAACUUGGAAUAAAUAGUCCGCAGUCUAUGUUCGGUUUCCCAAUUCACUUACAAACAUUUCACAUUUUACCGCUCUCUCCAUAAGCUUUAAUGUUUCCACCAGAUCGUCCUGAACCUCUUCGACAUAGUUACUUAGGGGAGAAGUAGGUGAAAUUAAUCAUCAAGCCAUGAAAACAACCAUAAUUGCAGUUUCCCUUUGCAUAUAUUAGAACUUGGGAAAAUUGACGGACCUCGUGAAUGGUCUUGACAUGAUAUUUACAAUUCCCAGAUAAACAGCACACUGUUUAAUCAUUACGCUGGACAUUCGGAAUGGAGAAACAGAAUGCAGCAAUAUUUAGGUUUCUCUGGUGUUGAUUUUAUCAUAGGCUUUCCUCUGCUUAAAUUGUUGUUAGUGCACUCGCAAUGCUGCUGCAAUUCUUUGAACCGCUCAGUGGUCAGCGGCAUAUUGAUAACCGGCAAACACUCCCAUGGCAGCGCCAAGCUUACGAUGUUAUGCUUUCUUUUUGCCAGAUGGGAGUGCCUUUGGCAGCGAGGGCCAUCUAAUAAAUCGGAGAAGAUUGUGGUACCUCGCAAAUGGUCUUGGGCUGCAACUGAUUUUAUGGCGUCUUUAUCCUGCUUGCGUUAACAUCUUGUUUAUCUGGGAAUUGUAAAUAUCAUGUCAUGUUGUAUAUUUCCCAUUGGAAAGAAGGGAAGGAAACAAAGAUGUUGGCGAUACGACGGCAUCUCCGAUGACAAGUUUUCUGCUUUUACGAAGCGUAGAUAGGUGCACAGAACUUAUACAGGAUUUGUAAUCAAUUAAAGAUUGGAUGCGCUUGAGAUUCGCAAUGGAAGGGCGCAUUUUGUUUACUUUUUAUUUGUUUGAUAUGGGACCAUGUUUGGUAAAUUCAAGUGUUUUUUUUUUUAUUAAUGACGUGUCGAUGAGCGCUUGUAUCGUAUUGAAAAUAUUGCAUGGACAAAGGUUCGGUGAUGCAGGAGCAAAUUCGACAUAUAGGAGAGGUUUAGUCACAGCCUGCUGCCUGGACACCUUGGUCUGCUCCCCUCGGUCGCUGAAAAUAGUUUUCGUGAUACCGCUGGUCACAAGCACCAAUACGAAGAAAAUUAACUCUUGUUUGAGAACUCUUGAGUUCAAAUGAUAUCAAGGUUUCUUUCGACAAAAAAAUUAAAAAAAAAAAAGAUAAUAAAAAGGCUGAACUUAAUCCUAAUCUGACCCUAAUUACAGUCCCAUAAUCACCGUGCCACUGCUUGAUCUCGCCCCCACAAAGCCGUAGCCGUUGCUCCAUAUCGACACCUCCAUCAGCACGUCCCUGUCAUCGCCAUCCCCAUCUCCACUUGAUCAUUCGGCCGUCAGGAUGAUUUCGCUGUUUCACAUCUAUCAAUCACGGCCCCUCUUUCUGGUUUCUGUCGAUCUCUGAAAUUAAGAGCUUGAUAGUGGAGUUUUACUAUGUUUCAAUCCACUGUAAAAAAUUUUGACAAUUAAGGCACCCUUUACUCCUAGCGUUUAAAAUCAACCCUUAAAUUUCUUCAAUUUGUUGGAUAUUCUCACACCAUGAAGUAAUCAAAGAUGCUCUAUUCUCAGAUCAUGUCUAAAAGCAAUUCUCAGAGCACAAAAUACCCUACUAUUGCUUUUAUUGUACAUGAAGGUGUAUUCCAAGUUGGAAGUGAAGAUUGCAUAUGAAGAAACAUCCCUUCCGGCAUUAUGUCAACUCACUUGAACCUUAGAAUUGGUGCGUCAAGAAUUAGAUUGUAAUGCCUCAAAUAUGGCUAUAAAUCAACCCUGCAAAGUUUGACAGGAUGGCUGAUUCAUUUUGAAAUGAUGGCGAGAGGACUUUUUUUUUUUAUUUUUUUGGUAGGAAGAAAAUUUAUUCAUUUAAGUAGAUACUCUGAAGUGUCCCAAACAAGGUGAAUCUAAACAUAAGAGAGCCCAUAGGGCUUGCGGGGGAACAUAAAACCAAUUCUGUGGAAGAGAACCAAGAUACUUGUGUUUAGCAAUCCAAUCUUCCACUACAUUUGAGGCCCGCAGACAAUGGGCAACGCUGAUUGAGGGGUGGGCCUUGAGAAAUUGAAGACGGUCAUUGAUUAGGAGACGUUCUUCCCAUCUGAACUGAUCUACAGCCCCACUUAUCAAGGUUUCAACUAAAUCCACGCGAUUAGAUUCUAUAGUUAUCAGAUUUGGAGAGCUCCAAGUACGACUGGGGUUUUAGCUUGAGAUGCCGAGGAGACCUUCACUGAUUUAGCAGUAACAAUCGCUCCCUUGUAAUCUCGACAUAUACCAGUUAUGGCGCCAUCCACAGAACCAUCAACAGAGGAAGCAUCAACAUUAAUUUUCAGAGCUUUGUUCCUAGGUGGCGCCCGGGCCUUCAACUCAGCAAAGGUAGGAUUUUUCCUCGAUUCCGAUUUUUGCGAGUUCCAUUUUCUGUAGUUUGCUUGCAAGAAUAACGAUGAUUCAACCGUUUCUUGUGAGUUUAGAUGUUUGCCCUGAAAAAUGAAAUUGUUUUGGGCUUUCCAAAUGCUCCAUAAAGAGGACGCCACCAAAGACACGGGAAAAAUCAGCCCCUUCUACGGCAAAUUCCAUUAGCCAUGCCUUAAUCCUCGUGAUCUUCUUGUAGUUGGUUUGGAUCUUCAUAUUACUGUCAGCCCAGAUACCUUGAGUCGAGGGGCAAAGUAUAAAGAUGAGCUCGAUCUUCUCCUUUUCCCGUUGAUAGAGGGGGCAUAUCGGGUCAGGUAUGAUAUUCCUCUUCCAUAGGUUCUCUUUUUAGGGGAUUGCAUUUUUACAAAGAGACCAUAGGAAAACUUUACCUUAUGGAAGGCCUGCAUGUCCCAUAUAGCUUUCCAAAGUGUUUUGGGAUUUUGGUAUGAAGAGGAAGCUUGUUUAGGAUUGCGCUUCUGUUCAAUCUCUUUUCUGAUCAUGUUGUAGACGUUUUUAACAGCAUAGCUACCUGAUUUGGUUCCUAACCACACCAAUUUAUCCUACGCAUAGUAUGCUCUAACGGGGAUUGUUUGAAUCUCCUGCACUAAUUGCUCAUCAGAAAGAUCCUCUAGCUUUCAAGUAUUCCAUUUUCCUUCCUCAGCCAAGAUCAGUUUUGCCACCAAAACUGGGUCAUUUCUGUUUGGUGAUCCCCCAAUUAAGCCACUUUUUAACCAUUUCUGCUCUCUGAUUAUUACUGAUUUACCAUUCCCAAUGGACCAACUAACUGAGUUGGCAAUAGGAUCCCUCCCUAAUAACAAACUUUGCUGUCCCCAAGAAGGCUUGGAACCUCUUUUAGCUUGCCAAAAAUCUCCUUGAUGAAAGUAAAUGCCUUUUAAGAACUUGUUCCAGAGAGACUUAGGAUUCUAUGCGAGUCUCCAUGCUUGUUUACCAAGCAUGGCCUUAUUAACUGAUAUAAGAUCUCUAAACCCCAUGGCCCCUUGGUCCUUCCUCAGCUUCAGAAUGUCCCAUUUUUUCCAAUGAAGUAUUGUUUUGAAAUCUGUUGUUUUCCACCAGAAAUUGGCAAUCCUUCCCUCAAUUGCUUUGCAAACUGAAAUAGGUAUUUUGAAAAUCGACAUAGCAUAGUUUGGAAGGGCUUGUGCCACUGUUUUAAGAAGAAUCUCCUUUCCAGCUUUAAAAAAUAAUUAUUCCUUCCAACCUUCUAAAUUAGCAUUUACUCUUCCAAGAAUCCAAGCAAACAUAUUUCUCUUUAACAUGCCCUAGUCCGAAGGAAUACCUAAGUAUUUGCCUGUGUGGCCAAUCUCAACUCCUUUGCCAUGUUUCUUGUUAGUAGAUGAGGACGCCCCUUGCUAAAAUAAAUGCUUGACUUGUUUAAGUUUAUGGCUUGGCCUGAUGCAUAACAAUAUUGAUUAAGUAUCGUCGAAAUAUUCUGGCAUUCCGUUAUGGUUCCAUCUAAGAAAAAAAUCGAAUCAUUAGCAACCAAAGGGGGUGAUAGUGUCAGAUUGAAUCUGUUCAGUUUGAUAUCCUUAAUAAUUCUAUUUGCCACUGCUUUAUUUAUCAUGAAAGAUAAAUAGUUAGCCACAAGAAUAAAAAGGUAUAGUGAGAGAGGAUCUCCUUGCCUAAUGCCUCUUGAGGGAUUAAAAAAUGGGAGGGAUUCCCCAUUAAACUUUACACUGAAUGAGACAGUUGUCACACACUACAUAACCCAAGUGAUUCACUUGUCUUCAAAACCCAUUUUGAUCAUACAAGCUUUUAGAAAAUCCCACUCUACUCGAUAAUAGGCUUUUUGCAUAUCUAAUUUUAAAACCGCUUCAAAUUUCUUUUGUCGAUUAUUGGUUCUCAACUAAUGCAGGACCUCUUGUACAAUAAAAAUGUUGUCUUGUAUUGGCCGACCACACACAAAGGCAAGGCACUUUGUUCUUCAACAAUCAAAUCAGUAGCCACAUCUUCAGUCUAUUGGCUAAAAUCUUUGAAAUAAUCUUAUAAAUAAAAUUGCAUAGGUUGAUUGGGUGGUAUUCUUCCAGCUUUUCUGGGUCAGGAUCUUUGGAACAAGAGUUAUAUGGGUUCUGUUUAGCCUUGGGUCGAGAAUUCCUGUUGCAAAGAAAGACUGGACAGUGGUGAGCACAUCCCUUUUUAUAAUAUCCCUAUGGUGUUUAAAGAAUAUACCAUUCAGCCCAUUUGGUCCAGGUGCUUUAGUUGCUCCAAGCUGAUAACUGCCUUCCGAACUUCUCCAUAGUCACUUCAGCAGUAAGUUUUUCAUUUACUUCAGUUUUGACUAAACAUGGGAAGUGGUCGAUUACCAGGAUAAUAUUUCUUGGCCCAACUGAGGAAAACAAGUUUUGAAAAUAUUAUGUUGUUCGCUGCUUCGACAUUUUUUCAUCCCUAAUCUACUUAUCAUCAGGCCCUUUCAGUAUGGUCAUUCUAUUUCUAUUGCGGCGCUGAAUUGUAAUAGUGUCUUGUCCUCCCACUUAUACCAAUUGACUCUUGAUCUUAAUCCUUAGUACAUCUCUUCUCUCCUCCAAAUAUCCUUCAACUCUCGUUUAAUACUUUGCAUUUUAUUCUUUUCAAAGGAAGAGUUUGAACUAUUUGUAAUUACUUGAAGUUCCUGGUUUAGCUCCUUUAUCAUACGAGAAUUGUUGGUAAAUUUCUGUUUACUCCAUAACUGUAAUUCCUUAGUCACCCUUCCUAAUUUCACCACUAUUUUCUCAUCUCCAUCAUCAUCCAUAUUCCAGGCUUUGGAUACAACAUCUAGACAUUCAGGAUCUUCCACCCAGAAAGCUUCAAAUUUGAAAUCCUUACCUUUUUUCGCUGGCUAAUUCACUAUAGAAAGCAGUAAAGGGCUAUGGUCAUAUCCCACCGUUGGUAGAGCAUAGGCCUCCGCUGCAGGGAAUGUAAGACUCACUAUAAAUUGCAAACCACUCGAUCUAGUUUUUCCUUCACAUAAUCAGCUCCUUCCCUAUUGUUUACACAUGUAUAAGCACGCCCCUUGCAAACUACUUCCAUCAAAGAGCAGUCAUUUAGACAAUCCCGAAAAGCAACUAACGAUAAUUCUCUGCCAUUCGUUUUCCUUCCCACAGAAGGCUAUCAAACCUGCUUACUUGCCUUAAUCUAUCCCAAAUAAGUAGUCUGUCUUUAAAAUCAUUUGGGGCAUGAACAAAAGAAAUCCGCAUUCUGACCUUAUCAGCAGGAACAGUAAAUAAGACGUUAAUCAUCUCUGUUGAUGCCUAUUCAACAUCAAACGAUAUGUCAUCAUUCUACAAAACAGCAAGUCCCCCUGUAAUACCGAUCGGUUUCACAGCAAAACAGAAAUUAAAUUUUAAUCUUCAUGGCCGAUGAUAGUACCAUUAUACACUUGGUCGCCUUACUGGCUUUGCCCUACUGUUCACGAAUGCUUGUCAAGCAAACGACUGUAAUGUUUGGACUUUAGGACAUGUUGAAUAGAUCAUAUUUACAUUUUCUUGUCCUCAAAUAUAGGUAGAAGACUAACUCGUCUUUUCCUGUUCUAGGAGGAUAAAAUGGAGAAAGAUUCAGAGAAUGAAAAAAGGAAAAUGACUGAUCGAUUGUUCCAUAGGCAUAGUACAACGUAUCUGCAAGCCCUUGUGAUUUUUUCAAGAGAGAAGUCUUCGGAGGCAGACAGGAUAAGUACAUUGUCGUGCAUAAUGAUGCAGACAUGGUGUCAGGAAAAACUGAGUGGAUCUCUAUGCAUUAUGUUUAAGGGAAUAAAAGCUAAAUCGAUGGCUCCAAGGGAAUACUUGCACUCUUCUUCAUAAACUCAAGUGCAUUGUGGUCGAGGGAUAGGUUUCCUGGACAUAGGAAUGCUGUUUGCAUAUGGAAUCUACUCUGCUUUGAGGAUUUGCUAACUGUCCAUCCGUUGAGAGGUAAGUCAUUCCCUUUGUGAGCAUCAGAUCGCUUGCCACAUUUGAUACAUUUAUCUCAGUAAAGGAAUGAUUCUACCAAUUUUUUUCAAAUAACUGACGGGUGUAAAAAACCAAGAGGAGAAAUGAAGAAAAAAACAAGCACAAGUAGGCAAUUUAACAGUGAUCAUUAAAUCAAUCUAGCACGAGCUCCUCCAAAAUCUGUCCAGAUAACAAACACGUGCAAUGCUUGGUCCUAGCAUUACACUGUCACGGAUGACUAGAUAUAAUAGGAGAAAGCAUUUGUCUUUCCGUUGCCAAUGUUUAUGAGGUGGACAAAACUUAUGGUAGAAGAGACUAAUUAGAUGAUACCCGCAAGCAAUUCUACUUUCUUCUAGGAGGAAAUUUUAGUGGCAGAAGCAAAGGGCACAGACUACUGACUAUGUCAUCUCAAUUCUCAAGAGUUUGUUCAACUAAUUUUAGUUCCACCUUCACUUUGCCGGCACUGCGUCUGACCUCUUCUGGUAGCGCCGCUCUCCAGAUUUGGCUGUCGAUGGCCCAACGCAUUCAAGGCUGCUGUUAGCAUAUAGUUCGUCCUUGGCUGUCAUUAGCGGAGUUCAUCAUUGGCGUCACCCGACUUCGCUCAUCUGUUUUUAUUUGCUUGAGCUCGCAGUUGAUGGCCAUUGGGAUAUCGAGCUCGCUGUCAAGGCUUGCAGCCACGGAUGAGCCACCUCACGAGCCAUGGACGAGCAAGGCUUGUGGAUGAGCCAACAUAUUUGUGCAUGCGGUCAUGGUCAUGUUGGGAGGUUAGAAAUGAUCCUUCUUUUUCCUUUUUGUAUGAACUCCAUGUGGUUGUAUGUGGUCGGGCCUCAAACUCAAUCUAUGCGAGAAUUUCCCCUCCUGCGAUGCUUUUCCGUUUGGAUAUCUUAAUUCUGGAAAAAUUUUGCUUUCCGCUCCUACACUUUCACGAAUUUUUUUUUAAUCAACUUUUAAUUUUUCUAACCAAAUUUUUCCAUUUGCACAAAUUAAUUAAUCAAUUAUUCCAAUGCCAAAUUUGGGGAUGCGACUGUUAGACAACAUUAGAGCGUGAUGUGGGCAUAUUUUGUCAAUGUUGAUGAAUUCUUUUCUUUUCUUUUCCUUUUUUCCAUGGUAGCAUCUAUGUCAACAAAAUGUCCUGAUGUUGUUAGACGAUUAUAGCGGCUAAGUUUGGCCAAAUAUGGCGUUGGAAGAUCUUCAUUGACUAUUUGUGCAAGUAGAAGGUUUUUUGUUAGAAAAAUAGAAGUACCAGGAUUUGAUUAGAAAAAGCAUAGAAGCAGGGGACGAAAACUGUUUUUUUUUUUUUUUUUCUUUUUUUACUUCUAAUUAAUGACUAUUUCAUUGGAACGCUCUGUUUUUAUUUCAAGAUGGAGCAAACAUUUUUAUUUCGAUAGAGCUGUAUUUAGCUCUACAAGAUCAUGUAAAUGGACCACUUGUCCUGAAUAUUUACCUACCACUCAUAACAUGUCACUCUCCUUGAAUAUCGUCAUAUUGCUUCGUUAGGCAUUGCGUAGUUGCCUGAAUAUGUAUUUACUACUCAUAAACCUGUCACUUCUCUUGGAACUGUACUAACGAAGGAAGAGAAUUCUGCUUGAUUCAUCGCAUUGGUUGGGCCAAGCUUGAUAAAUACAAGAAUUAUUGGGCCUUAUAAGUAAGAAAAAAGCUCAUGGAGCACACUAACUUGUGGAUAAGCCCACUAUAAUAAGCCCCGUGACCUCAUUCUACAUUAUACAAAUGUCCUUUGGCAACGUAUGCCUUCUCUAUCUUUAUCCUCUCCUUCUGCCAAAACGAGAGGCUAAAGAUAAACGUCCGACCACUUCUUUUUUUAUUGGCAGUGCGAAUUCUUCAAAGCAUUCGGGUCUGUUACUGUCCAGUUGCGGAUCCGCACAAUUCGUGCAUCAACAAAGCUUAGUCCCACUAAUUAAAUUUUAUCAUACUGAUCUACUCUUCUUAAUAUUUUCUUCACAUAUCAAAUUAUGCAAUAGGGCAUGCCAUAUAAUGAAGAACUUGAAACAAAGACUUAUUUAUGUUGACACUUGCAUCAUCGGGUGAACUUCUAUCCAAUGACACCAACAACUUAGAAUUUGAAUGGAUCUGAAUUUAUAACUUAACUACGAAAUUUCAAUAAAGUUUUGUAUUCUGGUUUAUCGGAUAUUGGGAGCACACACGUAGCUCCUAUCUCUCUCUAUUAGAGUGCGUUUGGCAACGAUUUGGCUCCUAAGAACAAUUUUUGAUUAAAAAUGAUUUUUUUUAUUAUAUUUCCGGCAACAAUUUUUGAGCAAAAGAGCGUAUUUGGUAACUGCAUAAAAUUUUUAUUCUUAGGAUAGAAAUGUGUUUGGUAGGAUUGUAAAAUUUUUUUAUUAGGUUCGACGAGGCUCGACGUCGCCUAGGCGGCACGAGGUCGGCCUCGCCCUAGCCUGGCAAGGCCUAACCGGCAAGGUCACUAGCCCUCAUCUAGCCAGUCACCGGUCAUGGCCGAGGCCGUCGACUGGCCAAAAGGAAGAAGAAGAAAAUGAAAGAGAAGAAGAGAAGAAAAUAGAAAAAAAAAAAAAUUAGACUUGAUUUUAAGCAUUAUUCUCGGAAUCAAGAUGCAACUUUUCUUUACUUUUUGAUUUUAUUCCAAAUCCAUUUUUAAUGAACAAAAAAAUUUUAUUUUUGUUCUCGGAAAUAAAAGAUUUACCGAACGGAAUUUUGUUUUUUGUUUUUUUUAUUCCUGGAAAUACAAGAGUGGAAUCAGUUGUUCACGGAAUGUUAUCAAACAGCCCUUAGUUGCUCCACUCACUCCGUAUUUUGUUCUUCCCUUUUCCUCUCUUGCUUUCCGCGCUAGUCUCUCUCCCUUAUUUUAUUCUCUUCUUUACGCUCCCCUCUCUUUUUCCUACUCUCUCUCGUUUGCUUUCCGCGCUAGUCCCACAUGUUCCCCUCCUUUUGACUAAACUCUCUCCUUCCUUUUUCCUCCUUUUUUUCCUCCUCUUUUCCCCAUUGAUGUUGUGACGAAGUUUCUUAUGUUUGCAGUAAAGACUUAGCAUCAAAGGAAACGAGCUGCUGUAGCAUAAAGUUGAUUCUAAUUUGGGAUUGACCUUAAGUUCUAAAUGGCAAAUUCAGUUUACCAAAACGUGACUUGGGGUGCUUGGCCCUUAGUAGCUAGUCCUCCAUACUCUUUGCUAUCUCCAUUAUCUCAUCUUUAUCAGCAUUUUUCAGCAAUUAGCUUUGCCAUCCAAUACCUAGGUCAAACCUUGGUUAUUAAUAGCACACCCAUCCCACUCCACCGCCCAAGCUGUUUCUCCCGUUAAACUUCUCAAUUUCUAUUUUUGUUCCACACAAAAUUAGAAUAACAGAAUUUCUAGACGACGAUUAGACAAACGAAAGCUCCAAAUCAAAACUCGAUAGAUCCUAAUCUUAACUUUGAUGUUAAUUGUUGUAAAAUUAAAGUGGAAGCCAAUUGGGUCUUGCCUUUAAAUCAAUGUGAGAAAAUGAAAUAACCCAAUAAAUCAAUAAGGAAAAAUAACGAUUAUAAGAAAUUUAUGCGGUUCGAUCUGAAUUUUAUUCCAUAAAGAGAGUGAGUUGCAAAUGAUCCACUUCACAUGUUCAAGUUCUUCCCAAUAUUAGAUGACAUUUAAACCUGCGGUAUUUUGGCCUAACGGGGAGUUAACUCAUAGCUUGAAACGCCCGUCUCCAUAAAAAAAAAUGGCCACACCUUUUUUUUUUUCCUCAAGAGUAUAUAUGGCCCCUUCUUUUGUACGGCCGAAAGAAAUCCCACCUCUGUGCGCAAUAUAAACAAAAGUCUCCAAGUAGUCAAAAAACUUACAUACUUCUCUCCAAUUGAAAGCAAAAUCAAGUUUCGCCAAAUUUAAACAAAUGAAAAUCCUCCAAAUGGGUCGGUUUCUGUACCCAACUUAAAAUGACGAAGCGCAUGCAGCUUCCUCUCUCUUUCCCUCAAUUGCUCCGCUCCCUCUAUUUUCUUAUUCCCUUUUCCUCUCUUGCUUUGUGACGCUCAUUCUCUCCCCCUUACUUUCUUCUCGUCUUUACGUCUCCGUCUUUUUUCCCUGUCUUUCCUUUGUCUUCUUAUGCCCUCAUUUUCUUCUUCCGUGUCCCACAUGUUCCCCUCCUUUUGACUAAGCUCUCCCCUCUCUCUCCUUUUCCCUGUUUCUCAAUGAUUAGACCUCGUGUCGACGUUGUGACGAAGUCUCUUGAGUUUGCGGAACGACUUAGCAUUGAAGGGCACAAACUAUUGCAGUAAAAAGUCAUUCUGAUUUGGGAAAGGCCUUAAGUUCUAACUGGCAGGUUCAGUUUAGACAAACGCGAAUUGGUGUGCUUGGCCUUCAGUAACAAGUCCUGCAACUGUCUUGGAUAUUUAGGCAGUUACUAUUUAUCUUGUGGUUGUUGCUCAAGGAGUUUACUAGUAAUAUCUGUUGUACUCAGCUGCCAAUAAUAAUUUGCUUGAUUUUAUGUAAAGUUGGUGCUUUAUUAUGGAAUUAGGCCUAAAAAAAUUAUGCUUGGGAAUAUUUUUUGUGCUUGACAGGGACUUGAGUCUUGUCUGAACGGGGACGUUUCGAGGGCCGUCUUUUUUUCUUUUUUUUUUUAAAUUUAAGCAUCGGAGGUUGAUCCAGGAACGUCCAUUCUCGCUUUCGGGUGAGGGGUCAUUUCAAGGAAGCAGCUUCGAUGGAUUCCUUGAAAUCAGUACGUGCACUCACAUGAUUUCUACUUUUUAACACAAUCGAAGGCACAGCUCCAAGUCAAGCAAACACCAAAGGGAGACGAGAGACCUUUUGUGAGGGAAACCCACAAUAACAUGGAAACAACCGGGGGCUGCGGCGUCCGCUUCGAAUUCUCCAGCAAGGCAAAUUGCCGAUGGCAAUUAGGUGAUCAAUUUUUCAAAUUUACGAGAGUGAGUGAAAAAUAAGUUACGAACUUAUACUAUAUUUGUCCCAACAUGCCGAUGAGCACUUGUAUUGUAUGAUUGUACUGACAAGUGACAACAAUCAGGUUCAGUGUACACUCAGACAUCUAGGAGGGAAGGCUCUUGGGAACAAUAGUGGUGCUUUUUUUUUUUUUUUUUCAUUCUUGUUUAAUUUAGAAUUUUUUUUUUGCGCAAUGUUUAUAAGAGAGGUUUUGCUACAGCUUGCUGCCUGGACACCUUAUUACUUGAAAAUGGUGUUCGUCAUCCACUGGUCACAAACACCAAUAUGAAGACCUAAUUGCACUUAGAGAAAAGAAAAAGGCUCAACUUAGUAGCCACCGCCUCGUCAUCGCCCCCACAAGGCCGUAGGCACGUCCCUAUCGUCGCAAUCCCCAUCUCCAUCUGAUUAUUCGUCCAUCACCAUAAUUUCUCUCUUUUGCAUCUAUCAAUCGCGGCCCCUGUUUCUGAUUUCUGUCGAUCUCUGGAAUUAAGAGCUCGCGGUGUUUUACUAUGUUUUAAUCCACAUUAAAAUUUGAGGUGAGAAAUAGGAUUCUAACUAUCGAAGCUUCCUUUUCUCCUAGCAUUCGAAAUCAACUCUUAAUUUUCUUCAAUUUGUUGGAUAUUCCCACACCAUGAGGUAAUCGAACAUGCUCUAUUCUCACAUCAUGUCUAAAAGCAAUUCUCAAAGCACAAAAUAUGCUGCUAGUGCCUCUAUUGCAAACGAAACCUGUGUUCCAUUCCAAGUUUGAUUUGAACAUCACAAUAAAUCAAACCCUGCAAAGUUUGACUCGAUGACCGACUCAUUUUGAAAUGAGGGCAAGAGGACAUUGACGAAUGAACAAGACUAGAAGAAACUUCUGCUUUGUUUAAGUACCAAAUGGCACGUACAUAAUGAGGGAAUUGUGCAUCAAAAUCACAGAGGCCAGUCAGGUGAGAAGCAAGCAAUAAAACAGCAGUUGCUUAAGCAGAAAACAAAAAAUGACUGAAUAAACGAGGAUUUAUGACAAUUGCAUUGCUGCAAAUCAUUGAGCUCAAUUGUGCAGGCAAAGAGGCUAUUUUGCAUUCCAUAUACUCGUUGUAUAUGAGGAUGUAAACUCUUUGCGAAAAAAAAAAAAAAAAAAAGUUACACUGCGCGUUCCUCUUCCUCGGUGGGUAAAAGGAGAACUCCACCUUUUAUCUUUGCUUUUUUGAGUCCAUUUUUCUUCCCACGACAGACCUACCGACCCCACAAGUGAAAAUAUAUAAAAGACCAAAAGAAGACCCUCCUUCAUACAAAAUAUGAACAGACAGGCUAAGUUGCCAAACCGGUUAAAUUUAGAUAAUCGUCUCCAACAUAAAACAAAAUUAAUUUCCCCCACCCAAGAAAUCCAAAUUUGACUUGGACCAAAGCGCGUACCGAACUCCAACAAAUCAAAAUCCUUCAACCGGGUCGGUUUCAUACGCAGUUCAAACAGACAAAGCGCCCAUGUAGCUCUCUCUCUCUGUCUCUCUGUCUCUCUCUCUCUCUCUAAGCUGCUCCGCUCACUAUUUUCUUCUUCCCUUUUCCUCUCUUGCUUUCGGGCGCCCAUUCUCUCCCUUAUUCUGUUCUAUUCUUUCCGACGUGUCCGUCUCCCUCUCUCUUUUAUCUCUCUCCUUUGUCUCCUUAUGCCUCAUUUUCUUCUUCUUUGUCCCACAUGUUCCCCUCUUUUUGACUAUACUCUUCCAUUUCUCUCCCUCCUUUUUCUUUUCCUCAUUAGACAGUGAUUAGCGAACGAAGUUGCAGUCCAAUUUCUCCAUCAGCUUCAUUUUUUAAUCUUUUCUGAGGGCUAGUUGACACAGGUUAAGUUGAAAUAGAUGCUAUUGUUUUAGCAAUGUCUAGAGAUGGCGGCAACUUGUAGAAAUUCAUGAGGGUGGUGGCGUACCGUUCACAUGUUUGUCAUAAGCGAUUAGGCUUGAUGAAUGGACUAUAUUACAAUUCCAUGACUUUGGUCAAUUAUGUUGUUGUAUAAAAUUGCAUCAUAAGCAAAUGGUGUUCUCUUUUUCUGUUUCCUAAAUAGAAACACUUUUGUUAACAUGCGUGAUGCACUAGCUCUAAUUACAAAUUGGAAAGAAAAUGAGAUAUGAUAGUAUGUUGGACAUUGGAGUUCAUAAGGAUGUCAGUUUACAAGAUACAUGUUUCAAUAUUGAAGAAAUAAACUUACGUAUAAUAAUAAAGAGUAGAUAGCAAAGAUAAAAUGAAAUACAUUUUAGGACGAAUAUGAAUUGCAAUUUUUCUGUAUGAAACAUAUAUGCAAGAUUAUUUCUUAACGUAGUGUGAGAAGAAUCGGUACUACUAAGAGAAUAGUUCACAAAGUUAGGAGAAUUAUAGAGUAUAAUCAAUCGCAUGCUUAAGUGCUUCCCCAUAGUAAAUUAUACCUAAAACACUAAGAAUUAGUUCACAAAUCAAAAUACUUAAGUCACACCACAAAGAAAACGGAGGAUGGGAACUCUUUGCGAGGGGAAAAAAGAAAAGAAAAGAUCAUUGUGUGUUUCUCUUCCUCCGCGGGCUAAAAAAAGAACUCCAUCUUUUUCUUUUCCUUUUGCGCGGCUCUGCAGUUGAGGGGGAUGAGAAAAAUAAAACCCACCGGCUUUUCAUUUUUCUUCCUCCCACAAACCUACCGACCCUACAAGUACAUUUAAAAGACCAAAGGAUGCACCUCCUCUAUGCACAAUAUAAAUAGAGAGUCCAAAAAGUCAAACCGGUCAAAACUUAGAUAACCGUCUCUAACAAAGAAACAAAAUCAAGUAUCCAAAUUUGAUUAGAGUGUAGUGGAUAAUUUUUCAAGGGGCAGAAGUGCCGAUUUGGUAUAAACUGGUCGAGACUUAACAGGACCGUGGGACGCAGGUCAAAUCAGCACAAGAACCUGUUGGUAUAGGAACAGUAUACCCUCGGAUCAAAGCGCCACAUCAAAUUGGAACAAAUUAAAUUCCUUUCUCACCAAGCCAAAAAAAAAAAAACAGAGCCAAAUUCACCAAUUCUUAUACAUAAGUAGGGCCAUUUUAGCUAGUGAUAGUUAUAUGAGUGAAUUUGAUAUAAUUUAAGUUUGAUAUCCAUAAUUUGGACCGCAUCUGAAAGGUUCAACAUAAUUAUACUCUUUUCCCCCACCAUUGACUCAUCCUUUAUUGACAUCUUUCAUUGUUUCUGGCUACUUAGUCUUGCCAUUCAACACCUUAGACAAUCUUGGUUGUUGAUGGUGUAAGUAUCCUAACACUCUACAAUUCAAAGUUGUUUGUUCCGUUAAACUUUUCAAAUCUAUUUUUGCUCCAAUAUAAUUGCACCAAUAGUGUUUCUAGAGAUCGGUCAAACAAGCAAUAGCAUCAAAGCAAUUCCAGAAAAUCCUUUGUAAAAUAAUUCAGUAGUUAACAAAUUUUUGCAAUUAAUCAAAGCGAGAGAAUGAAACCACAGGAGAAAUCAACAAGCAACAAUAAAGAACACAAAAUGAUUUAUGUAUUUCGGUCCGAUGAUCCAUACUUAUUUCUUUGGAAGAGCCAACCGCAAAUAAUCUAUUACUUAAUUGGAGAAUUAUAGAGUUACAAUCUCUCCACAUACUUAAGAAUUUCCUAAUCCUAGAUUACACAAAAUCUUAUAGUAUUUAGUCUCACGCAAUUGUUCAAUAUAUAAAUCAUUAAAAAUUACCUCACGAAUUGAAACACUUAUGUAUCCACACAAAAAAAAAAAAAAUGCCUCAAUUAGAUGUCGAAUUUUCUGCACAAAUCACUGUGUUUCUUGCUCCUCUUAAAGACAGGAACUUUACUGUGUGGCCUUUUAGCUCUAUCUCUUGUGCAAAAUAGAGUCCUUCACUUUAUGCCUCAGUUAGGUCAAACCUUGGAUGUAUAUGUAAAAUCACCGCCCUUGGAUAUCUUCUUAACCAAAUCUUGGAUUAUAUAUCCAACAGAAAACCAAAUUAUAAUCGAAGGGCAGGCCAAAUCAAAGUCUAAAGACUUUUAACUUUAAGACUCAUAUCGAAACAUAAUUUGACAUUUUCCUCCACAAACCACAUUUUCAGAUGUUUCCAAGUGUUCGUGCUCGGUUAUAUAAACAAAAGGUGACCAAUUCAAGUGACGGAGAGGUGAAUAAAUCUACAAUGGCGAUCGAAUUCGGGAAUCUUGUGAAAUUGCGAGAAGCGUUGGAGUUUACUCAACGACGACGGGCGGUGAUGGGGUCUUUGCUCAACGGCGCACCCUUAUUUUAUUAUCGUCUUUACGCUCGCUCUUCUUUUCCCUUCUCUUUCUCUCCUUUGUUUUCUUGUGCCCUCAAUUUCUUCUCCCUUGUCCCACAUGUUCCCCUCCUUUUUUAAAAGGGUCAGGCUUUUCCCGCUCCUCAUUUGGCUUGUACAAGUCAUUCCACUGUGUUCUGACCAUAUUACCCCUUGCUUUUUCAAAUGUUAGCAUGCUCAAACGUGGUGCCCAUUGUUGUCCCUCUUUUUUAUUUGUUUCGUCUUCUACUUCCACUUUCUCCUCCUUCUUAGUCCGCCCAAGCACAGUCAAUUUAAGUUCUUUGUUUUGUUCUGCGUUUUUUUUUUUUUUCGUCUCUUUAGAAUUCUGGCAAUUCUUGUGCACCCCUAACUUAGACGAGAAAAAUCAUACUGAACGCCCAUUCCAUUAAUAACAUGACUUGGAGAAUCACUACGCCAAUCUUGCACAUUAUUAGUCGUUGGAGCCACCAAACAUUGAGUUUGCGCAUCAAAGCUGAAGCUGGACAAGUUGCUUGAGUAAUCAUUGACGGUGUCGGAGGUGUGGAGGAUCUAGGCCGGUUAGCGAACUCGGAGGUGUACUGGUGGUAGUGGGUGGGGGAAGAUGGAUGGCUUGGAAUGGGAGUCCACGCAGAUGAUUGCAGGUCUUCGCCGUUUUGAUUAGACGAACAUUGGACAUAUAGAAGAAGAAAAAGAAGCAAAGCGAGAGAGCGACGUCGUUUUAAAGUAUCUGGAAUUGGCGGAGCGGAACAAAAAAUUGGGAAAAAGAGAAAAAGAGGACUGGCUAGGUGGAUGACGAAAUGGACGGCGUGUCUUUUUAUGGGUGCCCAUAUCAAUGGGAAAUGUUGAAUCUUUUUUUUUUUUUUGUUAAUAAGUAAUUGAUUAAAUGAACUAAUUAAUUUAAUAAAAAAUGAUUAGUUUAUUUUCCCCUCCUUUCAAGCAAUGUUGGACGGACGAACUUACCUCAAAAUUGAUAUGCUCACGCAUGUGAAGACUGAUGUCAUAUUCACAAGGAUGAUGUCAUCCACGUCCAACGAUAUAAGUAUAAUUAUUAUGUAAUCACAUAAGAUUACAUAUAAUUGGAUAAGUACACUGGUGGGCAAAUGUUUGUUGAACCUAAAUAUGUAUGUGGAUGUGAAACGAAACUUUUAGGAUAAGAUCUUUACCAAAAAAAAAUUAGGAUAAGAUUAUUUUUAGCAAUCAAACUCUUAGUGAAUGUUUGAAGUUGGUCGUCAAAUUUCAACUUUUGUUCAAAUUGAUCCUAGUACUCUUUUAGGUGGUCUCCAACUCUCCAUGGUCAAGUAAUUUUAAUUGGUCUUCCCAAAGAAAAGCGUACGUGGCAGCAUUUCUUUUUUUGUUUUUUCCUGAUGGAGAAUGCAAGAAAGCCGAUCUUUGCAAUUAGAAGGUGACUUUUUGAGCUAUUUAUAGGUCUACAAGUACAUGUCAUCUUUAGAGACAAUACUUACAAGUGUCCAUGUACACAUAUAUAAAAAAUUUCUUCAGUAAUCCAUAGAUUUAGAACCUUUAGAAGAAAGAAUGUUACUUAAAAAAAUAAAUAAGCUAGGCAGAACUUAUUUAUAUUUUCUAUUGCGUAUAUAUUUUCUCAAUUUAACUUUAAUUUACAUGUGAAACAAAAAAAAAAGGAAAUUUGCUCCAGAAUCCAAUUUUUUGCAUUUUUUGUACUGCUAAUUUCCUUAUAACAUGUCUUUAGAUUAAUACAAUCAAGACAAAAACAUAGUUACAAGUUUACUUUUGCCAUAUUUUCGGAAUCAUGAGUAUAGUAUUAUGAUGUAUUUUCUUCCUCUUAUCAGUAUUUCAACUCUUAAAUUAUUAUAUUCAUCUAAGAAGUUAUAAAUAUUAUUAUUCAAACGACCUUUGACUCCUCCCUUGUAUCACAUUUCCUUUACCAUAGGUUAUUCAUAAUUGAAAACUUGCAAGAAAAUAUAUAUCCGAGUGAAGUGUGCAUCAAGUAAUUAACCAAAAAACCAUAAAAACAAAAAUGGAGCUAGUGUCGUUGCGUGGGCAGUUUUCUAAUGAAGUUACUAAGCUGCAAGUAAUGGUUUGCUGAAUGGGAUCAAUUGUUAUGGGUUUGGUUUGGCUACCCAGCCUAGUCUGAUGAUGAAUUGAACUUAACCUGCCCGUCCAAAAACAAGAAAAAAAAAAGUUGAAUUUCGGAAUAUUUUCGAGCUUGACCCGGGUCAAACGUCCUUCUCUGUUAACUUUAGGCAUCGGAUGCCGAUCCAGGCCGAAAGCUCGUAUAUCCGGAUCUUGCAUGUGGGCGCGGGUCCAUUUCGAGGAAGAGAACUUUUGAGGGAUUCCUUGAGAUCGGUUUGUGCAUUCACAUAUGAUUUCUACUUUCUAACCCUAACGAAGAGUUUGAUGAUGAAUUGAAUUUAACCUACCAGUAAAAAAUCCAAGAAAAAAAUUUGAAUUUCGGAAUAUCUUUCGAGCUUGACCGGGUCAAACGUCCUUCUCUGUUUACUUUAAGCAUCGGAUGCCGAUCCAGGCCGAAAGCUCGAAUAUCCAGAUCUUGCGCGUGGGCGUGGGUCCAUUUCAAGGAAGAGAGCUUUUGAGGGAUUCCUUGAGGUCGGUUUGUGCAUUCACACAUGAUUUCUACUCCUAACCCUAAAGAAGACGCAGCUCCAAGUCCGAGCAGGCAAAAACCAGAGCAAGACAGAGAGAACUUUUGCGAGGAAAGCCCCACAAAAACAUGGCAGCAACCGGUGGUUCCAGCGCGUUGGCGACCCGGUACGACGUGUUCUUGAGUUUCAGAGGGCCCGACACUCGCGACACCUUCACCGACUGCCUCUACCGAACCAUGAUCGGCCAGGGGAUCGCUGCUUACAGAGACAGCGAAGAGCUUCACGCCGGUGAUCGGAUCGACGAUCUCCUGAGAGCGGUCGGCGAAUCCAAGAUCUGCAUACCGAUCCUCUCCAGAGGCUAUGCUUCGAGCGCUUGGUGCCUCCGCGAGCUCGCUCGAGUGACGGAGCUCCAUGAAUCGACUGGGAAGCCGGAGAUCCUACCCAUCUUCUUUGAUGUCAUCCCCACCGACGUCAAGCUCAGGACGAAACUGUACCUCAAGGACUUAAAGAAGCAUGAGCAGAGGCACGGUGCCGAGAUCAGGCAACGGUGGGAGGCGGCUCUGGGAAAAGUGGCUGAGAUCAAGGGAUGGGAAGUCCAAGGGAAAGCGUAAGUAAAUGCUUAUUUAUGGAACUUUUUGCAAGCUUCAGUCCAAAUGCUAUUCUCUUAUUGUUCUUGUAAAUGGCAGUGAAAACUAGCUGGAGGGGUGUAUGUUGUUGAAAUAUAUUGGUUGACGUGGCAUGUACAAACCGGUUUUUGGUAUAUGAGCAAUAAAUUUCAUUUCUCACCGGGGAGGAAAAAACAGAGGCAAUUCGCUAAUUCUCAUACAUAAGCAGGGCCAUUUGACUAGUGACAGUUACAUGAGUGAAUUCGAUCUAAUUCUGGAAUGAAGUUUGUAAUUCGGACUGCAAAUGAACAUCUUCUUUCUCAGAAAUAGGGUCAAAUUGUAAGUUUAUCGUACCAAUCAUAUCCUAUGGAGUCUAUUACACCAAAAUUCUUGUGGCUCUAUAGAAUUUGUCUGAGACUUAAAAAUAGUGAUCCAACUCAAAUACUAUCUGCUAGGAAGUAGUAGUGAGAUUGUUAUUUGUUUUCUUUAACUAAAAGUGUUUGGUAUGUGGCAGACAAGGUGAAGUCAUUGAACGCGUUGUGAAAGAGAUUUUGCGUAAGCUGAAAGUAAAACAAAGACCUUUGGACAACAAAUUGGUUGGGGUAGAAAAACAAGUAGAAGCCAUAAUGGAGUUGUUAGAUGUUGACUCUGGCACGGGUGUGCGUUUUGUUGGAAUCCAUGGAAUGGGCGGGAUCGGUAAAACCACUCUUGCUAAGAAUGUUUUCAAUGAAUUAUGUCUUCAGUUUGAUGGCCAAUGCAGCUUCAUUGGGAACAUCCGAGAAUCAUCAAAAGGAAAUGGCCUAGUGAAUCUGCAGAAACAGUUGGCAUCUGACAUCUCUGAUUCUAGAUUUGUAGAAAAUUUUGGUAACACCGAUGAAGGGAUAGACAGCAUAACAAGGAGAGCUAGUUCUAAAAAAGUUCUCAUUGUUCUAGAUGAUCUAGACAAGAAAGAACUACUUAAGAAACUAGUGGGGGGGCCUAACACUUUUGGUUCUGGGAGUAGGAUUAUCAUAACAACAAGAAAUAGAGGGAUUCUGGAUGAAGAGAUGGGAAUCUUACCUUAUGAAGUAAAGCAAAUGGAUCAUGAUAAAGCGCUGGAGCUUUUUAGUUUGCAUGCCUUUAACAAUGUCUCUCCUCCCGAUACUCAUCAAAGUCUCUCUCGGAAAGUUGUAUCUACGACCGGGGGACUCCCAUUGGCUCUUGAAGUAAUAGGUUCCUAUCUUCAUCACCAAAACGAGGAGAUAUGGAAAGAAAUGCUAGAAAGGUUGAAGAAUAUACCUCAUGAUGAAGUUUGGGAUAAGUUGAAAAUAAGUUAUGAUGCAUUACGGGAGGAGGAAAAAGAAGUUUUUCUUGAUAUUGCAUGCUUCUUCAUAUCUGGAAAGAAAUUAUGGGCAGCCUAUUUCUGGGAUGCUUGCCAUCUUUACCCCCAUAAGUCAUUGAAAAAACUUACCGAUUUGUGUCUAAUUAAAAUUGUUGAGGGUGAUACUAUAUGGAUGCAUGAUCAAUUGAGAGACCUUGGAAGAGACAUUGUUAAAAAAGAAUGUACCCUUAGUAGGUUGUGGAAUGACAAAGAAGCUUUGGAAGUAAUGAGAUCAAAAGAGGUAAGGUAAAAGUAGGAUCCAUACAUUAUCCACCGUGAAAUUAUUUUCCCACUUCCCAUUUAAGAUAUUCCUUUUAGGCAUUCUAAAGGACAAAUUUAAUGUUUGCAAGCUCAUACUCAUUGAUGGUUUCUAUUGGCAGAGAAAGGACAAAAUUAAAGCACUCAAUUUAGGUCAAUAUAAUUCGGAUCCCAUCAGCAUUGUGGAUGAAGAACUUGAGAGGAUGCCAAAUCUAAAAUUUCUCAAGUUAUAUAGAGGGACUUUUGUUGGAGACAUCAACAAUAAUCUCCAAGAGCUAAGAUGGCUUUCUUGGCGUUGUCCUCCUUUAGAUCCUGGAAUGGCCAAUUUACACUUGAAAAAUCUAGCAGUUUUCGAACUUUCAUACAAUAAAAACACCGACAACUGGGGUGGAUGGAACAUUUUGAAGGUGUGAAUUUGUACUUUUGUUCUCUUAACAUAGACAUAGUAUUCUCUGUUUUAUCCUCUCUGAUAAUAUUUCAGUGACCUUUGCAGAUGGAAAACAAAUUGAAAGUUCUUUCUCUCUUCAAUUGUGAUGGAUUGAAACAGACUCUAGACUUUUCUAGAUGUGUGAGUUUGGAGAUACUCUCUCUUUCUCACUGUCAAUCCUUGCAAGAAGUUGACUUUAUUGGGAAACUAAAAGAUCUUACUCACUUGAAAAUUAAUUGGUGCGGAAAUCUUCGAAAUUUCCCGAAAGAGAUUGGAGGACUAGUGAAUCUGAAGCACCUUUCUCUCGACGGGUGCUCCAAAAUCAAGAAACUUCCAGACAUCGGGAAAUUAGCAUCAUUGUCUAAGUUGGAUAUAGCACGAACAAAAAUUACAAUUUUACCCGAUUCUAUUGGCAAUGCAAAGAAGCUAUCAUCCCUUGAUCUAUCAGGGACGUCAAUUGCGGAACUUCCAAUUUCUAUUGGAGAGCUUAUACAACUCGAAUUCCUUUCACUCUCUGGUUGUCAUAAUUUUGUGGAGCUUCCAGAAUCAAUAGGUUAUUUGACAAAAUUACAGAUGUUGGAUCUCUCAGGGACAAAAAUUAUUGAGUUACCUAAUUCGAUAAAGAAUCUCAAGCAGUUGAAGGUGAUGAGGAUGGCAUUCUGUCCAAUACAGAGGUUGCCAGCCGGUAUUGGAAUGCUAGAGAGCAUGGAGGAGCUCAAUGUCCGAAAUUGUCAACAACUUGCGGGCGAACUCCCAACUGCAAUUGGCGAACUAUUGUCUCCAAGUAUCCUAGACAUAUCGCAAACUAGUGUUUGUGCAGUCCCAUCGACGACAAUUAAUUCCCUUACGCAACUCCAAGAGCUGGAUCUAUCAUUUUGUAAUGAGCUUCAAGAGCUGCCAGAACUUCCCUCGAGUUUGAAUUGCCUACGUGUUAGAUCGGCAUCAUUGCAGUUAGUUCCGGAUCUUAGUUACCUCACGAAUUUGGUGGUUUUGGAACUGUCCAACAACUCUGGACAAGCACUUGCCCAAGCAUCAACUCUUCAAUUGCAAUGGGUUGGGAAGUUAUCUAAGCUGGAGCGGUUGGAGUUGUGCCUUUCAGAUCUUCCCGUGCCGUCAACGGAGUUGGGUUGCCUACCUCGACUUAAAAAACUCACCUUACCUUGCAUGGAUAGUUUCGAUUCGGUAGUCGUUGGACCACAAUUUUCGCACUUGAAAAAUUUGUCCACAUUGCAUCUUUGUCGCUGUCCACUGAUGGAAAUUCAACUAGAUGGGCUUGAACUAUUGGGAGAUUUGACUGUGACAUACUGCGAGUUUCUCGAGGGAUUGUCAGUUAUUUCAUCGAGCUUGAGGAAGCUCUCUAGAAUGGAAGUUAGAAAUUGCCCAAAGCUAAUUCGAUUUCUCAGUAUGAUGGAAUCAUUGGAGCAUCUCGAAGUUGGUCACUGCAAAUCCUUAGGAGGGUUGUACGGUUUAUCAAACUUGAAGAAGCUGAAGUUUUUAACAUUCAUCAGGUGCCCUGUGCUACGGGUUAUGGAGGGCCUUGAAGAAUUGGAUCAUUUGCAGCACUUGGAAUUCGGCACGUGUCCAUCGUUGAAAGUGUUGACUAAUCUAUCCAACUCAAAGAUACCAAAUAAAUGCAGGAUAGAUGUAUGGGAUUGCGAGAAGUUACCAGAUUGCUAUGGUGGCUGUUACGGGGAUUACAGAAAGGAGAUUCUUGAGUGGACGAGGAGGGGAUUAAACCAGGUGCGCCUUCCUUCUACCCUUCACUUAUUUUUCAAAUUUUAAUUUUUCGGAGACGCAGGUGGUAGGCAUGAGUUUUAUUUCCCUUGUUCCGUUUACUUUCAUCUCUCUCUCUCUACGUUCCGCAAACAACUGCAUCCUGUCAUUCUUUCUCUGUUAACGUUUCUCAAUACUCGGCCUUCCUCCUUUCAGGAGGGUGCGGCACAGUUCUUGGAACGCGGCCAACCGCUCAUCGUACAGGUAUGGUCUCUUCUACGGACCCAAAAUUCUUCUCGCGUUGGUGAAGUGAGAAAAUUUUUUUUCUCAAAUUUGUUGUAUGAAAAUUUUAUCUUUUGUGAACUCAAUAUAUUCUCAAAUAUCAAAGAGCUGUAUUGCAAAAUGAAAUUAAGGUCGUUUUCAGAAAAUAAGUUGCAGUCUCUAGAGAUCUUUGUGCUAAAAUGAAAAUAAAAAAUGUUCCCUAAAACCAAAUUAACUCGAAAUUUUCUUUCAAAUAUGGGGCAAUCCGUAAGCAGAGAGAUGAGUUUAAGGUAGAAGAUAGAGAUCCUAAAAUAUCACUCGAGUCAAAUUAAAUUUCAAUUACAGAAUUUUUUCCUAUAGGGAGUAGCCUCGUUAAACUAGACAUGUAGAUGCACUUUGUGACUAGUCUAGAAGGUAGACACCUGAGAUGAUUAUUAACUCUUUCACAUGUCAACCAUAUAAUUAUGAGUGUAGUUAUUUCUUACACUUGCAAUUGAUGUAAUAAAGAUCCUUCAUAUGAACAAGAAAGUGAUUGUGUCAAUAUUUCCCCAACCAAAGAUAAAAAUCUCUCACGCGGGCACAAAAGUAGAAGCUCAAAUGUAGUUAACUGUUCGAAUAAAUUUCUUUUAAAUAACUAAACUUUCCCUUCAUAUUUUAAAUGAAAAAAUAAAUAUAUAGAAACGAAUAUAUAAUUAAUGUAUUUGAGGUGUUACAAUUGGGUGAGCCACGAGAAAAGGAAUAGUAGUGAAAAAAGAUACACCAAAAAUAGAGUUAGUUUAUAUGCAAUAGCCGCUUGCCAACAAUGUUCUACUUAUCCUGCUACACCUAUUAGACUAACUAUAUGGUUUGGCAUUCUCCAUUAGAAGGCAAGCAUGUUAAAUAGUACAACUCUAUCAUUUGCCCUAAUUUUACAUAUUGCUUGAUAUUACAAUUUUUUCUUGUCAAAGGAUUUAUUCAAGUUUUCUAUUAAAUAAAAAGAAUUCUGUGAAAAAUAGAGGUGCCUAUACAAAACUUAAUAUUCAUGAUGUCCGUUUAUCUAGCAAAACAUAUUGUUUUCUUUUCCUGAUAGCUGAAUUUAAUUAGAGUGAAAUACGAAGUAGUCAAUAAAAUUUGAGUGAAAUAUGUACAUACUUCAUGGAUAUUGAAUCAAUAUACUGCUAAAUCGUUGGAUAAUUUCAUCAAGUUCUCUUUUAUGAAUACAUGUCAAAAGCUUAUAAAACCAGGGACUUUUGGUGGAGACGUCAACAAUCAUCACCUGAAGCUAAGAUGGCUUUCUUGGGGUUUUCCUCCUCUAGAUUGUAGAAUGGCCAAGUUGCACUUGAAAAAUCUAGUAAUUUUCGAACUUUCACACCAUAGAAACACAAAAAACCGGGGUGGAUGAAAAGUUUUGAAAGUCUGAAUUCAUGCCUUUGUUCUCUCAACAUAGUAUUUUUUUUCUUUAAACCCUCUCCGAUAAUGUUUCAACUACUUUUGCAGAUGUUAAUAAAAUUGGAAGUUCCUUAUUACACGUUACCUAAAUUUUAUGAAACUUUCGUAACAUUGAAAUGGACUGGUUACCCCAGUUUGGAGACAUUGUAUUUUCACUAUUGUCUAAACUUGCGAAAAUUUGACUCCUCUAUUGGGAAGAUGAAAGUUCUUACUCACUUGGACAUUAUUCGGUGUACGAAUCUUCGAACUUUGCCCGAAGAGAUUGGAGAACUGGCGAAUUUGACGCACUUCUCUAUCAAAAAGUGCUCUCAAAUGGAGAAACUUCCACACUCUAUAGGGAAAUUAGUAUCAUUGUCUAAGUUGGAUAUAUCAUCCUCAAGAAUUACAAGUUUACCUGAUUCAAUUGGCAAUGCAAAACAUCUGUCAUUCCUAAAUCUAUCAGGCACACCAAUUGUGGGACUUCCAAUUUCCAUCGGAGAGCUUAUGCGACUUGAGUUUCUUUCACUCAAAGAUUGUCGAAAUUUGGGGGAGCUUCCAGAAUCAUUAGGCAACUUGACAUCAUUACAGAAGUUGAAUCUCUCAAGGACAAACAUUGUUGAGUUACCUAAUUCGAUAAAAAAUCUGAAGCAACUCAAGGUGAUGAGGAUGGGAUUUAGUCCAAUAAGGAGGUUACCUGCCAGUAUUGAAAUGCUAGGGAAGUUGGAGGAACUCUAUGCCGAACAUUGUGAACAAUUUGCAGGCGAACUUCAGACUCAAAUUGGCAAACUAUUUUCUUUAAGUGUCCUCGACAUUUCAUAUACUCGUGUUAGUGCAAUGCCGAAGGCAAUCGAUUAUCUCACGCGACUCCAAAAGCUGGAUUUGACACAUUGUAAUGAACUUCAAGAGUUGCCAAAGCUUCCCUCGAGUUUGCGUUGUCUACGUGUUCACUCGGCAUCAUUGCGGUCAGUUCCCGAUCUCAGUAACCUCACGAAUCUAGUAGAAAUGCUUUUGUCUAAUGGCUUUGGACAAGCUCUUGCCCAAUCAUCAAACCCAAUGCAAACUUUCCAAUUACAAUGGGUUGGAAAGUUAUCUAAGCUAGAGAAGUUGAGCUGGGGCCUUUCAAAUUUUCCCAUUUCGUCAAUAGAGUUGGAUUGCCUACCUCGACUUAGAGAACUCACUUUAUCUAGCAUGGACAAUUUUGACUCAAUAGUUGUUGGACCACAAUUUUUCAACUUGAAAAAUUUGUCCAUAUUGUGCCUUCAUAGUUCUCCACUGAGGGAAAUUCAAUUGGAUGGGCUGAAUUAUUGAGAAAUUUAGGUGUGAGAG
RNAcentral lists this long non-coding RNA (54129 nucleotides) under Eucalyptus grandis. RNAcentral's name for it is "long non-coding RNA (EGRA_LNC003216)". Lineage: Eukaryota; Viridiplantae; Streptophyta; Magnoliopsida; Myrtales; Myrtaceae. The record is from RNAcentral.